GGAGAAAAACUUGGUCAAAAAUUACUUUGCCAAGGCCUAAGUUUGAACAUGCCAAAAUUCAACUCAUAAAGCCAAUUGACAAUUCUAUUAAUCAUGACUUACCGGCUUCCUUUGCCUAAAGUAAUUAUAAUUAACGACAAUUGCAUGAUUGAAAUGACCAUUGGUUUAGAAGGAAAUGUGGACUAGGGUCUAGGAAGUAUAUAAAAUAAUCAUAAGUUUCCAGAUCUUUGAGAGGCCUUUCUACUCCCGGUUACUGUUGAGAAAAGUCAUUACAGAUAUUUUAUCCACUCUGCAACAAUACGAAUCGUAGUAGUCACCUUUCAGUCUUUUACAUCUUCUUUGGGAGAUUAGGGAACGUAAAGUGAUGUAGAAAACUCUUGAAUUCUUCAACCUUUUCUAGGCGAUUACAACAAAUGUAAUGAAAAAUUUUAGUAGCUUGAUUUGUUUUCUGCCCGGUUUCUUUCUAAAUGACAAUUGGUCUUUAAUAUACUGGCUAUCAACCUGAACUUAUCCUUUUGCUGCAUUUUCUGCCACUUUUUUUUUUUUUUUCCGUUUUUGCUUUUUUGGUCCUAUGGUGGGACUAUGGACCAACUCCUUUUCCAAAUUUGCACCUUUUUAGCCCACAUUUUUUUACCCCCUUUGUACGUACUUCUUUCAUAUCAAACACACCAUUGGGGUUGAGGAAGAGAGAUAAGCUCGAAGUCAUGUCUCAUCUCAUGAAUGUUAGUUUGCAUGCAAAACAAGCUGAAGACUUAUCCAGUUGCUGGACUGGUGACGUUCAAAAGUGAAAAAACAUUGAUGGGAUUUUUUAACUAAGCUAAUACUGCAGAACAGGAGCGCCUUUUGGACCAAGGAAAGACGAAUCAGGACUACGGCCAACCAACCAGCACUGCAUUCUUUUCGUUUUAAAAAUCAGAGGCCGUCACCUCUUGAGGAAUCAUUGCAAUUGACCGAUUGGUUUUCUAGCAUACCACUUCUUUCAGAGAAGCUUGAGAUAUUUUGAAUCUGGGACCUAACAGUCAUUGACGAAUGUCCCAACCUACAGAGCUGAAUUUCAAGUGCAUCAUUCAUAUAAUCAUCCAUAGCAACAAAGAGUUUAUUUUUUAUUUUUUUAAAAAAAGAAGGAUAAAGCUACCCGAGAUUACCACAAUAAUCAAUUUACUUAUAUCUGGUGACAAUUUGAAACAACGAAUCACUAUCUUGGACAUGCAAAGAUGCAAUUUAAUUAAGGUCUAAAAGCUCCCAAAAAAGCUUAUGGUUUCGAUCAGCACCAAUACAUAUAUGGUGUGUGAAUUAUCAUUUGAUAUCGUGUUUAUGUUAGCUUCCUCUCUGUUCGUAGAAACACCGUUAUUUAUCUUUCCUACUUUUUAGUUGUUAAAAAGAACUUUCACCACAUUGUCGGUAAGUUGAGCGUUUUCACAUCGAACAACCUUUUCAGCUAAAGUGGAGAGCCGAUAAUGGAAGUGUUCCUGUUCCCGACCAAAGCAAAUGGCAGCAAAUUAGAUGCGUAAAUCAACUUUUCUUCGAUCGUUAACAGAGUAUAAUCAUCAUGAUCUUGUCUGCUUUUAAUUUAGCUUUUACAUAUAUGCUAAUGAAAUAUCUUUCCACCUUCAAUGGCGUGAGAGAAAUCACGUCAGGAGAUUAGCAUAGUUAAGUACUAGAAGUAACAUGCUAACUGUAGGAUGCAUGCUUUAGUACAAUAUUCUAGUGCAGGUUCGCGGUUUCAGAUUUUAAGAAGGCAAAAGGUUCAAAACCUAGAAUGGCUAGUCUGGGGAGUUUAAGAUAUGAAAGGAGAAACUCUCGUAAUCCACUGUAGCGAAGGAACAAAUAGAAGAGAGAGAGAGAGGCAACUGCAUAUAGCCUUGCAAGCCAGUAGUUCAAUAUUCUGAAUGGACCAGCAAGUUUCGACAGUCCUCUCAUUUUGCACCUUAUUAGAAUGUAAAUUUUAGGUACUACUAAUUGGUGCCUUCCCACUUCUGGGGACGUUCCUAGCUGGUGCAAUGUUCCGGGGACCACGGGAUGAUUACAAGUUGUUGAUCCUUGGCCAGUAGAAUCAUUGACGAAGAAAAGUCUUGGACAUUUAACCUCUUCUUGGGACCAUUAUUGGAAAAUCAGAAUGAUUCAAUUCAUUUGAACAUAUUUCAAGUUUUCCACUUGGCUUAUACGACGCAAAUAUUGACAAUUCAAUAUGAAAUAUCCUCUUGAAUGUUUGUUCGCUUUUAGAGGCUUUGAUUCAAUCACGAAAACUAGUUUAAUCCCACGUUGUUCUCGUGGAAAUAGUAGACCCAGAAAUUACCAUACUAUUAUUAUUCGGUUUCAAUCAAUUGAACAAAAGAAGGGAAACGGUUUCAGGAGAGUAUAUCCCUGUGAACUCGACAUUAUGGCGUUUUGGCACUCAUUGAGUUAGGUACUUAGGUGACACCACACAUGACCAUGUUGAAUCCACCCACGUGUCCAAUCUAGCUAAACUCUUUGUUUUUGUUUUUUUUUUUUUUGUUAACACUGUAGGUAUUCGGAACCAUCCGACUAAUCCCACAGCACCUAGACAGAGCAGGAGCGAUCGAUGCCUAGGAGGUCAACAACUGAAUUGCGGACUGGAAUCGAACUCAGGUAGACUCGGAGUAACUAUCCCGCCUCCACCAUCCGAACAACCCAGCGCGGGCGUGCUAAACUCUUUGUUGGAAAAUAGAAAAUUGUGUGUUUCCAUGACGGAAAAUGUAAUGUGAUUGAUCAGUUUGAUUUAGUUGAGAAAACAAAUCUCAUGGUCAAUGUAAAGCUUGUUUUCGUAAAUUUGGGAAGUGCGUACAAGUGCAGAAGAUGAUGAAAGACUGACAUUUGGACAUGGAUGGUACGUCUCGCAAUUUCUUGAACUUGAUUAAUAGAAAACAGACAAAAUGAAAGUAGGGAUGUAUCGGUUUUAAGUAAUCCAUUCACAGAUUUCAGAAUCAAGACAACAAACAAUAAUGUUGCUUUACACAUUUCAAAGCCAUUAAAUAAGUUUGACAAAAAGUUCAGUGUAAAUGAAGAUGGUGUAUUAAAACACUUGGAGAAUAUACCUGCAGCAUCAUGGUGGAGAUGUUUCUUUCUUCUGCGGGAUAUUUAUUACUAAAAAAAGAAGUCCAUAUAGAAACAUCAAUCCGAAAAUAAUUCUAUGGAAAGAAAGUCAAUCAAUAAUCAAUAAUGGCAUCUUAUUGUUUUCUGGGAAAACUUUUGCCUGCAGUUGACUGCAAAUAGUAGUAGUAUUCAUUUCCGGAACGGAACAUAAAAAUGAGCCGCCCAGUUGGGUAGGUAGCCAGAGGGCGUGAUAUCUGCGGACCAUCUGUCCCUCCUCUUCUAUAUCUGUUGGGAGGCCACGACGCAUUGAUUACUACUAGUAGUAUUUUAAGGCACCAAAUCAAUUUAUAUUAACGCCUUCAAAAAAAAAUGCCAUUAUCCGAAUCCUCCUCUCGACAUCAAUUGACUAAAUGAAUCCAGAAGAAGCCUGAUCCUUGACGACAUAUGAUACAGCAUGAUGACCUCUUCAGUUCCUUUCAACGUCAGGUGUCUGUACUUGUGAAUAAUUAUUAUAAUUAAAACAGGACCAGUGGCUAUGUCUGUCGUCUAAGGGAAAAGCAUCAUCGAUCAGGCACUCUAUUAAUCAAUGCGACAAACAAUUAAACAUGCCUCCUGUACCACCAAUGGAUAGAGUUUGUUUGGAUACGAGUUUAUUUGAGAUAAUUACUGUAGUAUUUUUUAUGAUUUAAUAUAUGUGAGAUAAAAAAGUGGUUAAAAUUUGUAAAGUAAAUUAUUUUAUCUGAAAUCAAAUCAUCAUUUUUUGAUCGUCUGUGUGUGUAAUACGUGACUCAAGUUUAAGAUCUGUUGGAGGCAAAAUUAAAGAAAAAAGGUACAAUCUUUGCAGGAUCAACAUUAAUUUUCUUGGUGAAGAGUAAGACAACAUUAAUUGUUAAUAAUAAUGCACUUUUAUUAAUUCCAUUACUACAGAUCAUUAAGAGGCAACGAUAUGAACUUCUUCUAUCCAGAUGAAUGCCAUUUUACGAAGAAUUAAAAAAAAAAAAAGAAAAAAGAAGAAGAUUAUCCUAAACCGAGCUCGCGGCCGCCCAGUGGUGCAAAUUAAAUGGCCAGAUUUAGAAAACAAAACUAUUAAUUACUCCUCCAAAAUUACGUACCUUGCUUAUCUCUUCUUUCAAGUCAUUUUUAUGCAAGAGGAUUGAUAUGCUUUUAAAACUGGGAUUUAUCAUUUUUAUGGAUGUUCCCAAAUAUCCAUAUUAGUAUAUAGUUGUAAAACUUGGACGCAUGAGACUGAGAGCACACGAGAAUUUAUUUAUCGAAUUUUUUGUCGCAUGAUAUUCGGGUAAAAUUAUGUAAUUUCGCAUUAGAACAAAUUCGCGACAAACACAUAGAGGAUGAAUGCCAUGAAUGACAUAUCAAUUUCAAGGUUUUAAGCCAUACUUCAUUUCCUACAGUCACAUUCAUUAUUUGGAUUGAGACACCAAGAUUUAGAAAUUUUAUGUUGAAAUUCUCCAAACAAACCUAAAAAAAAAAGGAGCUCACCUUAAAGUCAUGCAACAAAAUGAUGAUAGUUUUUGAAUGCUAAUUGUUAGAUUUUUUUUUUUUUUUUUUUAGUUGUCAUGCAAACACCAAUCUGUUUUCACAAAUGAUGCUUUGCACCUAGUAACUGGUUAGCACAUUUUUAGAAAAUAACAAAAAUAAUAAUUACCGCAAAGGAAAGAAGAUUUUCUUAGAAUGCUUAUUCCAGGCAAACACCGAACAAGAAGAGCGAGAAACAGAAAAUCUAGGAUCACUACUGUUUGGAGUGCUGCGGUUUGAUCUGUGUCAAGGAUAACCUUUGAGCUCUCGUUGAUGUAAAGACAAAAGUGACAGGGUUGCGAGUAUGGUCAAGUUUUUGAAUCAAGCAAGUUGAUUCAUUUUUUAACUUUUUGAGGAACUUGAGGCCGUUGCUGCUACCCUUGAUGCUGUGCAGUCAACUUGGUUGGGAAUAUUUCCAAAGCAAUAAUAAUUGGGCUUGUUUGGAAGCCAAGUUUUUGGCCUAAUUUUUUAGCUACUAGUUUUUUAACAACUUUUGCUACAGGAACCCCAAAAAACUUAUCAAAGUUUUUUACCUACACACUUCAAUAAUACACAAAAACUUUCCCUUCAACUUUUCUUCUUCUUUUUCCUCCCCCACCCAACCGGCCACCACCUCCACCACCGCUUCCGGAGCCGGUAACUAUUCCGGCCAACUUUUGCCGGCCUUCCUCUUUUUUUUUUUUCACUCCCUUCCCUCCCUUUUUUCAAAAUCUCUUUUUUCUUUCUCCCUCCCCCUCCCCUCUUUCCCUCUGCCUUUCCCCGCCACCUUUCCCCUUUGUCCGCAGUCAUUUCUUCCCCUCAUCACCAGCGCACGCCGCCACCUCGCCGCAAGUCUCUCUCCUCUCGCGCGCUUCUCUGUCUCCGCGGCCGGACACCACUGCCCACGGCCGCGCGACUCCAGCGACACCACAACCCUUCUCUCUCCCUUGCAAUGCCGACGAAGCCACCACCACCUCGCGCGACUCCAGCCCAACUGCCGCCCCUCUGCCUCCCGCCACGCCCCCUGGCUCUACCAUGCGCAGCCGUUCCUCCUUGGCUGCGACCCAAAGCCCUCGUGCGUUCUCUCUCAUCUUCGCAACUCCCACCUUGCCGCUGUUCCUCUCAGCUCCCUCCACCACAGCGCAGGGGUGGGGGAGGGGGGUUGCGGGCAGAGGGAGAGGGAGGGGGAGUUUUUGCAGGGGUGGCGGGGCGGAGGGAGAAGGCGGGGGGAGGGGGUGGCGGGGCAAAGGGGGAAGGGGGGAGGGAGGUGGCGGGGCAGAGGAGGAGAAGGGGAAAAGGAAGAGAGGGGUGGCGGAGCUAAUGGGGAAGGGAAGAGAGGGGUGGCGGAGGUAACGGGGAAGGGGAAGGGGGAAGGAAGAAGAAGAAGAAAGAAAAGAAAAAGGAAAAAAAGAAAAAGAAACAGAAAGAGAAAAGGAAAGAAAAAAAGAAAUGGAAAAAAAAUUUCACCUUACAAAAACUUCUACAAAAUUUUUCUACUUACAAAAAAUUCUACAAAAUUUUUUAAAAAACUUCUACAGUGCACUACAGUAAAGUUUUAGACAAACUCCCAAAAAACUCAGGUUCCAAACAGGCCCAAUAUGUUACUGUUAGAACAAAAUUUUCUCAAAUGUCAAGAUUAUCUACAAUCAAUCAAUCUUUUAUAUUCUUGUUGAUUUUUUAAAAAUUCACUAACUACUAAUUACUUCUCUUUUUCUCUAUCUAAUUAAAGUUUUUUCCUACUCACCUGCACUCUUCUCUCUCUCUCACUCUCACACACAUUGGUUCAUCAAUUAUUUUCAUAAUUUGCUAAAUUGGUCUUGGUUUUAAUAAUUUCUUGUGUAUUAAUUCUACAUGUCCUUAUAUUUUUUAUUUUUAAAAUUUUAUUCAAAAUGUCCUUUUUUCAAAUAAAAUGUAAUUUAAGUAAAAAAAAAAAAACCAAGAGUGCAUAGAACCGAAAAAGAUACAAUAAAAGAUUAAGGCAAAAAUUAAGUUAUUUAAUUGUAAAACAAUAGAUCUAUUAGUCUGUGGGUGAGAAAGAGAGAGAUGAGAAUAGCAGGAAGAAGAAUGAGAGGCCCUAUCAGAAAAUAUUUAAUUAGAGAGAGAAAAGAGUAGUAAUUUAUGCACAUGAAUCUUAGGAAAAUCAAUAAAUAAAUAUAUAAUUAAUUGAUUAAGAGUAAUUUUGAUAUUUGAGAAAAAUGUGUUUUGCUGGGAAGAUAAUGAGUGUGUUUGGAUUGAGAUGAUUUGAAAAAAAUAAUAAUAAUUUACUUCACAAAUUCCAAUCACCUUUUUUAUCUUCCCAAUCAUCUUUUUAUUUCACAUACAUCAUAUCACAAAAAAUAUUACAAUAAUUAUCUCAAAUAAAUCAUCCAAAUAAACUUGCGAGUCAACUUUGGCAGCUACACGCGCAAGGGGUUGGACCAUCAUGGUUGAUGAAGUAAUGCCCCGUGAAUCGACCUUAGCCACAACAAUAGGUCCUCUUUUUGAUUUCGCAAGCAGGACAUUUUCAACGUACUAGGCGUCUGUCCGUGAAUGAAAACCAAAACCCAAUUCAAUUUGUGGUCGUGGACGGUACUAUUGAAAGUGCAUUGAAGUAUAAUAGUUGAGUUUUUCUUUCUCUUCUAAUAAAAAAUGAUUACUAGGAACAGACAACAAGGAUAGUUAUGCAAAAGGAUUACGAGCCAAUAAUAGUGUACUUCUAUUAUAUGCUAACUCGCAACUGAUGAGAACAAUAAUGUAAUUAUUUUCAAAUCAAUGAGCAAUUUCACGUCACAAAUUUGGCUUUGGGUAGCAUACUUUUUUUUUUUUUUUUUGUCAAUACAAGGGUGUCCGGGUUAAUCCUUACGGGCCCGACUAAUCCCUGCGGCUUGGAAGAGGAGACCCCACCCCACACCGAGCACGUUAAUAAUGGGACUCGAACCUGGACAAAUUUGGCUUUGGGUAGCAUACACAUAAUAAGUUAGUUAUAUACUAUAAAAUUUAUUAACUAGUGCCUGAAAAACAUCCCUACUAUUUUGCAUCAUCUUAGUCAUCUCCUUACGUAUCAAACGCCGUUGCAGUCAUGAUCCCCAUCCCAUCAGUCAAAAUUUAAUAGUGCAAAAUACAUGAAUUAACGAUUUUUCAUCAGACGUCUUUUCCCGAUAUGUUUCCUUUUUGAAAAAUUUUUUUUUUUUGGUGGAGCUGAAUUGUCGUGAAAUGUCACAAAUUGACACUAACACGAGGGGCCUUUUGGAAACCACUAAUAGUCGGUUUAGGAGGCCACAGGAUCUGACAAUUAACGAUUUUAAUUAACAUAAAGAAUCUAAAGAAUGAGGGGAGGACCAGAUGUCAAAGACCCCAUGUACCCAUAUGUCACGGGCGAGCUGCGGGGUAGGGGUAAAGAUGUCAAAAGAGUGUGGGGAGAGUUUGUUGAUUGCGAAGGCAAAUUAUUAGAGGUGAAAGGUAAAUUAAACUAUUUGAUAUUUGACUCGAAUCCGAUUGAGUAAGAUUUCAGUUCUAAUUUGAUACAAUAAUGAGUUAAGUCAAACUUAAAUGGUGUUUUAAAGUCAAAGUUAGUUGGUAAAUAAAUAAGUCGAAGGUGAAUAAAAAUUUAAACUUGUUAAAAUAAUUAAACAAUUAUAACGUAAUGGUGUUUGACUUGCCUAAACUCACUUUAUACCCCUCACAAGUUAGUGAAAGUUAACCGUUUCUAGUUUCUUGUUUAUAGUAUAGUAUGCACUAAUUAUGGUGAGGACUGCGGGGUUUAUUAAAAAAUUAGCCAAUUUCCAUAACCAAAUAGAGAAGUGAACGAAUUAAAAGUAGUACAGUAAAAUCCAACAUGCAAAAAAGGAAAGAAAUAUAACCGUAUCAUAUACGUAUCAUAUAUGGACUACAGUAGCAUGACGAGAAUUGACGGGAGAGGAGCUAGAGAGGAAGGAGGGAGGAUACACCCCGACCCCCCCUUUUUUUUUUCUCCUUUUGUUUAUUCAUUCAUUCAUUUAUAUUUAAGAGGAAGGCUUGGAGCAUGGUGACGGGUGAGGAGUAGGGAGGGAUGCAAUAUUGAAUUCAACGACGAGCAGUAGCUCAAUAGGAGGAAAGAAAUACCAACGAAGAAGAAAAGACGAAAGAAACUGGACUAAAAAAACCAAGAAAAAGGGAAAGAAGGGUGGGGAAAAAAGGAAGAAGAAAAGGAAUUGAUUUACAAAAACAUGGUGGGAUUGCGGACUGCGAAUUACAAUGGAAUGUUUGGUAGGGUAUCAAUGUGCGGCGCCGGGGCAGCAGAAGAGAUGGAGCAGUUGUCCAGAGAAGGCAGCCAUUACAGUAUAACCUCCGGGAUCCUUCCUUCGCUGGGUGCAAGAAGCAACCGCCGCGUCCAGCUCCGUAGAUUCACUAUUUCCCCAUAUGAUCGCCGCUACAGGUGAGUGUUUUGUUUUUUGUGUUCUUUAGUAACUAUAUAACAAUAUGACUAUAUGGCCGCGCUUUCGGGGUCUAAGAUUUUCUUGUUUGCGUAAAUUACCGCAUGUUUUUGUUAGAGACGAUUUUUUUUCUACUGAUAGAGGUUCGUUUGUAUUCAUCCGUUUACUCAAUGAAUGAAUGAAUGUUGCAGAAUGGAAAGUGAUGAUGAAAUCGUUGUCUGACCCAAGAGAAUAAUAGAGUCGUAGAGCGGGAUUUGACUUCUUCCUCUUCUUCUUCAUUUAUUUAUUUAAGGAACGAAAACUGCUUUGAGAAGAAGAUGCACUGUAAAUAUGGUUGCCAAGGCUUCAGCUUACGAAUUCUUACGAAAUAAUUCAGAAUUUCCUCUGUCUUUUAAUCUUGUUUCUUCCAUGAGCCAGCCGCUUUUUCACAGUGUCUGCCCCGGUAGUUGGCUGUUACAAUCAUUGUUUCACCUUUUUUUUUUUUUUUUAAACCUUCUCGCUUUUAUGUCAACAAAGUUAGUACUAUUUUCCUACCAACCACUUUUCGCGGAAGUCAUUCUACUCCCUCAUUUAAUAAGAAUCGGUCGUUUUUCCCCCCCUUUUUGUGUGUUAAAAACAAUCUAUUUAGUGUGCUUUCCCAAAAAAAAAAAAAAAAAUCAUCAUCAUGUAGUGUGAGUGAAUUGUGAAUUGGGUGAAAAGAAUUGGAUUAUUGAGGGGUGACUAAGUGGAACCCAAUUCUUCAUCCAAUUAACGGAAGGCAUUUUUUCGUGCAGUAUCCUCCAACUCCAAAAUAAUAGUAGCACUAGAUAUUUUUCCUGUUUUCCUCAGAGGCUCUUUGAGUCAAUAGAGGUUCCUUUCAGUUUCAAAUGCUAAUCCAGAAUUCUUUGAUAUGCUUUCUUUUUCAUAGACUGUGCUUUAUCCGUAUUUUCACAAGAAUAGCCUCAAUCCUUUGUUUGCCCUGGUAGUGACACCAGGGUAAAAUUUAUGCUUUCUUUGUGCUCUAUUUGCAAUUUGGUAAGUUGUUGAAUUUUGCUAGUGUAUAUCUUCACGCCCAUGUGGUAUGGAUUAAAAGACAGUAAUACAACAGUAUCGUUUUAUUCAAUAUCUGAAUGUGUCAAUUAUGAGGCUAUUUCUUGUGUUUUAUCAAUGGAGACGUUAGGAAAUUGUUGAAUUCCACUUGCGAUGUUUGCUGUUGUAGACUCUUCGUCUGUUCUUGUGUUUCGACCGUGCUCUAGACUGUUUCUGUAUUCAACGUUAUGCUUUGAUGAUUUUUGCAGUUUCAUAUUAUGUGCAAAGUUCUUUAUGUUUGAUCCAAGCAAUACAAUUGCAUUUUUUACAGGGCAUGGGAAACGUUUCUGAUUGUUCUGGUAGCUUAUACUGCUUGGGUGUCUCCAUUUGAGUUUGGGUUUUUGGAGGAACCAGAGGCACCAUUGCCUAUUUUGGAUAAUGUCGUCAAUGGUUUCUUUGCCAUUGAUAUCAUUCUCACUUUCUUUGUUGCAUACCUCGAUAGAACUACGUAUCUUCUCAUUGAUGAUCGCGGGCUGAUUGCUUGGAAAUACGCCAGCAGUUGGUUGGCCUUCGAUGUUGUCUCCACUAUUCCUUCUGAACUUGCUCGCAGAAUUUCUCCUCAAGCUUUGCGGACAUAUGGCUUAUUCAAUAUGCUUCGUCUCUGGCGUCUUCGUAGAGUUAGUGCCUUAUUUGCCCGGUAAAUGACUCAAAUAGCUAACCGAAUUGUUGAGCGCACUAAUCUUUUCCAGGCAUGAAGAAAUUGCUCUCUUUGUAAUUUAUACUGACUGAUUCCUGCUUCCCCCCCACCCCCACCCCCACCCCCUUCUUACUUCGGAACAGGUUGGAGAAAGACAGAAACUUCAACUACUUUUGGGUUCGAUGCGCUAAGCUUAUUUGUGUAUGUAUAUAUUACACAAUUUGUUGGUAAAUAAAUCAUUAGUAUAAAGUAGUUAGGUUAUCUCGUUAAAUGCUGAUCCAUGUGUGAUUAUAGGUGACUCUUUUUGCUGUUCAUUGUGCGGGGUGCUUCUACUAUCUGCUUGCUGCUCGUUAUCACAAUCACAAGAAGACAUGGAUUGGGGCUUCUAUGGGGGACUUCCUUCGGGAAAGUCUGUGGAUCCGUUAUGUAACCUCAAUGUACUGGUCCAUCACUACUCUAACUACAGUUGGUUAUGGUGACCUACAUGCCGAGAAUACGAGAGAGAUGAUCUUUGACAUCGUUUACAUGCUCUUUAACCUGGGGCUGACAGCAUAUUUGAUAGGAAAUAUGACCAAUUUGGUUGUUCAUGGAACCAGUAGGACCAGAAAAUUUGUGAGUAAUACCUAUACAUUGUUUUUUUGUGAUUUCUUGAAGUCAAGUCUAAGUUUAGGAUAUUUAUGUUAACUGCUUGCACAUGAUCUUCAAUUUUAAUGAGGCCGUGCAUUCAUACAUAAACAGAGAGAUACCAUUCAAGCUGCAUCAAGUUUCGCUCAGAGGAACCAGUUGCCUCUUCGCCUACAAGAUCAGAUGCUCUCUCACUUGUGCUUGAAGUUCAGAACUGACUCAGAGGGGCUGGAGCAGCAAGAGACUCUAGAUUCUCUUCCAAAAGCCAUCCGGUCAAGCAUUUCACAUUUUCUCUUUUACUCCCUAGUGGAUAAGGUGUACUUAUUUCGUGGCGUGUCCAAUGACUUGCUCUUCCAACUGGUAAUUCUUUGGAACGGUAGAACAUUUUCACUUUUCAAGUUUGAGGCCUUAUAGCAUAUACUUCCUAUACUGCCAGGUUUCAGAGAUGAAAGCUGAGUACUUUCCUCCCAAGGAGGAUGUAAUUCUGCAGAAUGAAGCUCCAACAGAUUUUUACAUUCUUGUGUCAGGAGCAGUGGUAAAAUUGGGCUUCCUUUUUCAUUGUGAUUUAUCGAAAGUCAUGUGCUUGUAAUUUGUUACCCUCAUUUGGACUUGUAAAAAAGCUGUUGACUCAUAAAUGCCUGCUGCUGAUGUUUGAACUGCUCACAGGAUUUACUGGUUUUCAAAAAUGGUGGCGAGCAGGCAAGUGCAAUGCAUAGCUCGGAUCAAAUACUCCCCCAUUGUUUUUCCCUGGACUACACUAUCUACUUCAACAAAUAAUGGAAGAUUUAGACUUUCCUUUUAUAUUGAAGAUGUUGACUGAAUUUUCAGAUUGUUGGGGAGGCAAAAAAUGGUGAUCUCUGUGGUGAGAUUGGGGUUCUUUGCUAUAGGCCUCAGCUGUUCACUGUACGAACAAAAAGACUGAGCCAGCUAUUGCGACUGAAUCGAACCACAUUUAUGAACAUCAUUCAGGCCAAUGUUGGAGACGGGACCAUUAUCAUGAAUAAUCUCCUUCAGGUCCGUAUGCUUCAUUAACUGGAAGACGAUUUUCAAUUUUGAUUGAAAAUUUUCGUUACAAGGUCCUUUUGGGUUCACUACUGCACACUCUCUGUCAUUGACUAUCAUUGAAUUGCUUUUGGCUUUCUUCAUUGGUUGCGCAGCAUUUGAAGGAGCUAAAGGAUCCAAUCAUGGAGGGAGUGCUGAUAGAGACAGAGAACAUGCUAGCUCGCGGUAGAAUGGACCUACCUCUCAGCCUCUGCUUUGCAACACUCAGAGGAGACGACUUGCUGUUGCAUCACUUGUUGAAACGAGGUCUAGAUCCAAAUGAAUCUGACAACGAUGGGAGAACUGCCCUGGUGUGUAUAUACUACUCUCAUUUGACUCCUUAAAAAUUAUUUCUAGAAUGCAAUUCUGUCUUUUUGUUCAUUCUACAUCCUUUUAUGUACUCAGCAUAUAGCUGCGUCAAAAGGAAACGAGAAUUGUGUGCUACUGCUUCUGGAUUUUGGAGCGGACCCCAACAGCAGAGGUAUCUCCAACUUUCAUACUGCUUUAAGUUAUGACGUCCAAAUACUGCUAUGGGAACCCAACUUUCUUUGUGAUGAUAUAGAAGCAGGAAAACAAUUUAAACAAUUCACCUCAUUAUCAAGAGGGCUGUCCUCCUUGCACCCCCCGCAUCAUUUGUCGCAAACUAAUGACAAUUAUAAUUUACAUGCCCCUUCUUCAUAUUUUAUAACUACAGUAAUGGCAGCAAUAGUCAACUUAGCGAAAUGUGGCCCCUAAUACUCUCCAGGCGUCAGUUUUAUUUAUUAAUUUGAGCCGUCUUUGAUUUAAUUGCUAGUACUGUAUGAUUUACCCCUCAUUCUGUCCGCGAGUGCGUCCGUAUUGGGCUGGCCCUCUUGCAUCAAUGAAAAGUGAAAAAUACCCUUUUGGUCACUCCGUACAAGUUGAAAAUGGCUGAAUCUGCAUCUCCUAGACAACUGUAACACCAGUCUCAUUUACUCUUUUAAAAGGUCUCUAUAUUUACUGCGAUUGUCCAUUUCAUUAUGGUCUGCCUGUUGAUCUGUAUUGAUGGCCAAAAAAAAAAAAAAACGCGUGUGCUUGUGAUUAUGCAGACUCGGAGGGAAACGUACCAUUGUGGGAGGCCAUGUUGGGCAGGCAUGAAUUAGUCGUCAAGCUAUUGAGUGAUAAUGGCGCCAAAAUAACUUCUGGAGAUGUUGGCCAAUUUGCAUGCACUGCUGCUGAACAUAACAACUUAAAAUUGCUACAGGAGAUUGUUCGUCUCGGCGGGGAUGUUAAACGUCCCAGGAGCAAUGGAUCAACAGCUCUUCAUGUUGCUGUUUGUGAAGGUAACAAUGACAUUGUGAAAUUCCUCUUGCAACAAGGCUCUGAUAUUGAUAAAACAGACGAACAUGGCUGGACCCCGAGAGCUCUAGCUGAACAGCAGGGUCAUGAAGACAUUACAGCUCUCUUUGAAUCCAUCAAAGAAACUAAAACUCAACCUGUUGCUCCAAUCUUGGAAGAAAAGCAUGGAGUUCGGUUCCUUGGAAGAUUUAAAAGUGAGCCUACGAUCUUCCCUGUGCCGCAGGAAGGCUCAUUCCGAGCCGUUGGAGGAUCGUGGGGACGAUCAAGUAGAAGACGUAGGGCUGAUAAAUUUCACAAUUCACUAUUCGGGAUCAUGUCAGCUGCCCGGAAUGGGGAGAACAGCUUGCUUUUAUCCGUGAAUCAGGCUAAACUUGCCACGGUUACCAGAAUCUACGUUGCUAGAGUGACCAUAAGUUGCCCUGAGAAAGAAGAUGUUGCUGGAAGGCUUGUUUGCCUUCCACCUAGCUUCCAAGAGUUACGUGAGAUUGGAUUCAAAAAAUAUGGGUUUUGGCCAGCCAGAAUAUUGAACAAGGAUGGAGCUGAAAUUGACGAAAUUGAGUUGGUAAGGGACGGUGACCAUUUGGUACUCGUAAGCGAUGGUGGCGUGCGCGAGCCUAAUCAGCAAAGAGCUGAAGGUGCUGAUGGUGUAUUGAGAUAAACCAGAAAACCGCGUUUUCCAUUUUUCUUCCUAAAUCUUUGUAGGUUCCUCAAUGCCAUCAAUUUCCGGAGCCAACGUCUUUGAUUGUGUAGUCAUAUCUAUCAUUCACCAAUUGUUUUUGCUCAGUGAAUGCACGCACCCAUUUGGGGGCUACACUCAAUCAUUCUCUUCUGUGCCCUCAACCCAAUUGUUUGCCACGGGAUAAAUUCGAAUCAGUUCACUAAAGAUUAUAUCACAUAAGAUUUAUGCUUCUAACACAACCGAAUCAAAUGAUCUCCAAGCCGUAAUUCUCUUUUUUAAGUCGAAGUAAAGGCAAGGUCAGACCUGCAAUAUCUUCUGGUUCCCCAUACAGCUGUACUCCGGAGUAUUAGCAAAUACAAUACACAUGCAGCAGAAAAUCAAACUCAACCAUAAUGGAUGGGCAUAUGUACGUACAAUAUAAAUUAGUAAAAUAGCUAACAUGUGAUACUGCCAAAUUCAGAUCCUCUCAUCUGCACAAAGGUUUACUAUAGACAUUAAACUAUAGACAUAUCUUCCAUACUAUUUAUUAUAAUGGUCAUCAGUACAAACACGAAACAGCUUCGGAUCUCGAGUGAUAACUUCAAAGCAGUUCAUGGUACCAUACACAUCCAGAUAACUCCUCCCUACAACAGCUUCAGCAUUUUGAGCCGUUCUUCAUGCUCCAGGUCCAAUUUUGGAGCGGUAUAACAGCCUCGAAGGUCCUCAACAAUAUACUCCUGCAAAAUCCCAAAAAAUGAACGUCAGCAGUGAGGGAAAGAGGAGGAGAACAAAAAUAACCUAGCACUACAAAAUAGGAAGGGCAAAUAUUUGGGUCUCGAGAAUUUUCCGUGCUGGGACCAUUAGAUUAAAAGUUCAGAUUUUUCUGAUCAUCUAUUCUCCAGAAACUGAUUGGAAAACUAUGUGCCUAAAGAACUCAGAAGUCUGAACAUCGCCCAGCUUCAACGCUAUCUUGGUCAACAUCAACGGCAAGUAUUUCCUUAGUAAUUCAAAACCAAAGUGGUCAACCACAAGAUCACAGAUGAAGCAAUUCUAAUGGAAAAGAAAAUUCUAAGAAUUUCAGGACCGGUUGUCGGAGUUGGAGAAUAAGAGAUAGAGUAGUUUUAAGUAGUAAAGCAUAACCAAGUAUCAAUUUCCAAAUGACCACUGGAACUGGAACAGUCCCUUUUCCUUUUAGGUGUUUUGAAGCACAGAAAUUGGAUACCAGUCUCACCAUAAAUCUUCAAUGGAUGCCCAUGAAUUUCAAAUCUCUAGUUUACCUACUAUUUCCAAGUCCAAACAUUAAGAGAAAAUUAUCAUUCUGCAGACUGAACUUCAAAAGAACAACCUCAGAUUUCCAAAGUAAACCCCCUUUUCUCUCACAUUGCUCCUACUCUUUUUUAAAGAACAUACUGUCACCAUUAACAAACCUCGUUGAUAAUAAAAGGAAACUCCAGCAAGUCAUUAACUCCAAAAAUAAAAUGAAGUAAAAGAAGUCGACACCAUUGACUAGCUUCAUCAUAAGAUUCCAAAACUACACAAGUUCACUCAUACCACAAUGAUUAUUUGACUUAUCACAUAAUUUAUACAAGACAUAGCCAAGAGAUUUUACCUGUGUGAGUUCUCUCUUCGUGAGGAUGUGGUAGUGUCUCUGCCAAAUCCUCUGGAUGGCCAUGGUGGCAGCAAGGAAACCAUAAGCAAUUCCAAGAAUGGCAAAGAUGACAACAAAAACAAUUACUAGGGCAAAGCAUGCUUCCAUGGAUGCAGGGAAACAAUCCAAGAUGCCCCAGCCAUAACAACAAUUUUGACAACCAGCCACACGCGGGUCAUUGCUGUUCAGAGAGGAGCAGUGUAGUAUGAGCCCAAAAAAUCCCAGCAGCACAAAGAAGCCAAGAACCCCUGUUCAGUCAAUGAAUUGGUAUGGUUAGAUCCAUGGGAUCUUUCUGCCCUAUUGAAUGCAAAAAAGAGAUACUCAUGACUCCUUAGAGAAAGCAUUACAGAGACAGCAACUAAAACAUGCAACCCGAUUAUUGAUUAAUGUUACCAGAUCAGUAGUAACAAGAUUUAUCGCAUUAACAAUUCCAGCAAAUUCAGGAAUACUUGAAAGGCAACAACUGUAUCAGAAUCUUGCGAAAACAAUAAAAUCAAGUGGAAGGAAAACCCAUCUUGACAUGCUUAAAAGAAGUUAAAUCUUCAUAAUACAGUCUCAUUUAUUUCAUGGAAAUGAAUUGCAAGGUACAUUUAAAAUAUUUCCUAAGUUUAUGGGUUUAAAACACAUUAAAAACUGCCUACCCAACAGCCAGGCUAUCUUUUCGACGAAAACCAUGAUACUCUUUUGUAAGUGACACAAGAGCUAGGCCAUCACCAUGCUCAUGUCAUUCUCUCCCUUCAGAACUCUGGCUACCAGGCCAAACCCCAUUUAUAUAUUUGAUAAGAUCAUCAAGCCAUUCAUCUAUGCUAUCCUUUUAAACGUGUUCUCUUAACAUAAAAAGGUCACACCUCACCGAAAUAAACAUCUUUUCUUAACAUAAAAAGGUCACACUUCACCGAAAAUGGAGCACCGCAAGGGCAAAUACUUGGAUAGACCUGGACCACCAGCAAGGCUGUGGACCAUGUGGCCAAAAACUCGCCACAUCACUUCCUUGCUGAAAAGCCUGAAGAUUGCAAAGAAAAAGCGCGGCGUGGCUUAUUUAUUUCCACAGGGUCUAUUUCGAGGUGGUGGACCAGGUCUAUGUAAGUCUUUGCCCACAGGACUAACAAAUCUACCACAGGAGAUACAAUAGUGGACCUUUGAUGCAUUUAGUCUUUGGUCUACAAAAUAAAUUUGUCGGUGCACCUAUACAGUAAUAAAAUGGAAUUGGAUGCUUAGAAAGUAUGCGAUCCCAGCUAUCAUUGAACGAGUUCCUGAAAGAUCCAUCUCUAUCCAUGAGGUAAGCAAAACCGCCAAUCAUAGCAAUCACCUGAAGGAACAAGUGAAAACAAGUUAAGACAUUAGAAGACACCCAGUAUAGAAAUUUGAAGUCCAUGCCAUGCAUCAUGUCUAAAGGAAAAAAAAAGAGAAAACAAAAGUCUCAACUGACAGUUGUGACAGAAUGCCGCAACAACCUCAUAUACUUAUGUUCACCUCUUUAUUACUUAAUAAAACUUAGAAAAACAAGGAAAAAGAAAAGAAAAAAGUCAGAGAAGAACUAAAUGAGAAAACUCAUUCAUGUAUCUAAACAAAACAUUUCAAAGUUGAGGACCUCAGCGCUUACUCACCACUAACUUUAGAUUUUCAAGAAAUCACACAAUCUGGGUACCAAUUCAGAUGCGUGAGCCAAAAGACUAGUUUAGUAGUAAAUUAAAGUGAGAAAAUUAGCAACCAAAUAACCAUUUGGGGAUUAGCCACAAGCAAAUCCAGAGCUAUAUAGUUCAUUACAGAAUAUCCUCAAAUUCAAUCCUUCACUCCUAGCGGUAGAGUGUAGAUUUAGUUAAAUUUGAUAUUAUAAACUUACAGCAAAAUAACUACUAAAGCACCAAUUGUGUCCAUCCAAUCAUUAUGGGAGAUAGCAACAAGAAUAAAACCUCAUAACUUAGAAAACAUGCAUAGCCAUUCCGAACUUUUAAGAUAAAUUUAAUUUAACCCCAAUAAUAUAAAUUAAAAAGAAUCCUUAUAACCACACUUUACAUGAAAUUGACAGCAAAAAAUCAUGCUUACAGUUUGUACAGCAAGAAAUACGAGGAAAACAUCUCUUGCAACAAAGAUCCUAAAUUUUAUUUUUCGCCAAGAAUUGUCCUCCAACUCUGCCACUCGAAGAUGAAAUUGAGCUUUACAAGUUGUGCAAUGAGAAAACGCAAAACCUUCCUGCAAUUGCAUGCUGUUAUGAUCAAUAAAACAGAAUCUGCAUCCUUAGUAUCACCACGUGGUCACACCAGAAUUAUUCUCCUCACCUUGACUGACCGCCAGUGAUCAAGGCAAGAACGAUGAACAAACUGCUGUGUGCCUUUGCACAUGCACGGAGAUAUCAAUUCAUCAUCUACCAAUCAAGGAAAAAUAAUUUUUUAGGCCAGCAAAAUGAGACUCAAUGUGCAAUGCCACAGUCCACAGCAGAAGAACAAUACCAACACAUACUGCUCAACCACUAUAAAUGGUUAUCCCAAGCCAUUACAAAAAGGAGACUGCAAUUUUAUCGAGAAUGGAUGCUAAUAAUGUAUGACAGUCCAAAUAUAUGACAGUUUAAAAUGAAUGAAAAGCAAUAUGACAUCAUCAGCACUUGAACAAUCAAUUCCAAUGAACAAAAAUUAAUGCUUGAUUAACUAGACAGAUCCUUGAAUGCACAAACACAAGUUUCUUGCUUUAAAGCUUUCGAGUUCAAGAAUCGGGAAUAUCCUCUCAUGCUUCCAAUGGUAACAAAUUUCGAUGACGACAAACGAACUUGUCCUAAUUGUCAUAACUCUUCUACCUAGUCGUCACCUUUGUCAGUAAUAAUCGUAAGACAAUCCUAUGUUCAAGUUAACAAUAUACAUUUAUAUGUUAAAGCAUAAAACUGUAAAUUUUUGUUCUCCUUGAUAAGUGUCAUAUUUUGUUUCUCAAAUAAAGGACAAAAAAAUUGAUUAAACUAAAAAACGUGGGGGCCUUUGAAGCAGCAAAAAUCAACCAACAGUUCACACGCAAAAAUUGAGCUUGCCCAAAACACCAGAAAUGUCGUAUUUAGACCUAUUGCAUUAGCCAGUAACCUCUCAGAUAAACCGAUUCCCAAAUUGCAAUUACAGCUACACCAAGUAGUAAUAUAAACACGGAAACAUACCAAGUACCAACCACCUCCCACACCCCAAGAGAAAAUAUACCAAUAGAAAAUUGAACAACUAAAAUCCCCAAAGAAUCAACAAAACGCGAUGAAAUACACCGUUCUGAACAGAUGAAACCUACUAAUAUACAGAUUACUAGCAUCAGUUUUACCAUCUUCACCGUCGCAUUCGAGACAAAUCCUACAACAAGGCAAGGAACCGGCCUCAAGGUCUUCAUCCUUUAUCUCGCUGGAGCUUCCCGAGGACGAUGGCGACGAAGUGUCGAUAUGCUUUUGAAGUUGUUGGCGUUCAUGAAGCAGAGGAUCGGAGUCACUGGGGUUCCGGUCACCACCAAUCGACUCCAGCUGCAAUUCUCCGUUCAUCGGAAAACCCUAUCUCAAUAACAGGAAAAAAAAGUUGAAAAUGCAAGAUUGGAAUGAAUUACAAUAUAAAGAACAAUAUUGAAUUAAAAUAACAAAUUUGAGAAUAUAAAUAGAGCAAAGAAACGUAGGAAUUACGGGAAAAUUAAUGCCUGCAAUUUUUUGAGAGAAGACGGAGUAAACGAGAAAUUUAAUCAAAUUUAGGCUCUUUUUUUAAAAAAAAAAUUGUAGUACAGAAAGCGUCAAGGGGGGAGGGUCUCUUCUCUUGACUGCUGACUCCGUUUUUUCGUUAUUUUUUCCUCUUAUUCUUUUUCUGCUUUAAUUACUAAAGAAGUGAAGAGAAGAGACGAGAAGAGAAGAAUACGCUGUUAUCAGUGAUUAACUAAUUUAAGUAAGUACUUACUGAUACAUAAGUGGAUAGGGCUUGGAAUACUACACGUAGGUAUUUCUGGACUGCACGAGGACAAAUAUGGACUUAUAAUCUAGGCUGGAUGGGCCAUCUGAAUUAGUUUCUGCCAGAAGGUAUUGUUAAUUUUGGCCCAUAUCAGUCGAGAAUUACUCUAAGGGGGUCUGAAUCGAAAUCGAAGUCGGUUAUUCGGAACUUUGAAAUCAAAAUUUUCGGAAUUUGGGUAUCAAAAUUUCGAACGAUUUCGAUUUCAAAUUCACCAAUUUCGAAUUCGAAUUUGUUCUGAAUUCAAUUUGAAAUUCAGUAAAUUCUGAUUUCACAAAAUUCAUGAAUAUAAAAUUUAUUAUUAUUAUAUAAAUAUUAUAUUACCUAUAUAUAAAAAAAUGUUAUAUAUAUGUGUGUGAAAACGAAAUUGAAAUCGAAAUAGGAAUUCCGAUUUCACCGAAUUCAUGAAUAUAAAAAUUAUUAUUAUAAUAUAAAUGUUAUAUUAUAAUAUAUAUAUAUAUAAUAAAUUUAAAAUCGAAAUAGGAAUUCCGAAUUCCGAUUUGAAAAAUCUCAUUACCAAAUUCGACCAAUUCGAAAUUUCAAAUUCAAAAUUCAAUUCGAAUUCGAUCGGUAAAUCGAAAUUUUUCGAUUUUGCACACCCCUACCCCUAAGUACUUUUUCAUCAAAUUUUUUGUAUGGCUAACACAGAUAGAAAGAAGUUGACUUUGUUGACAUAAAUUAGCAUUCAUUUAUGCAACGUAUGGAGCGAGGGAAUUUGAUGAAUGCUUUAAAUUUGUUUAAAUCCUUUUAAAUUACUAUUUGGAUUAUUUGAAAUAUAGGAAUUUUUAAUUUAUCAAUUACUUGUAUAUAUCAUAUAUAUAUAUAAUAAAAUCGUAUUCUCAUUCUUAUCUUUUCAUGUUUUCUCUUUCUUACGUGGCUUAACGAGAUGGCAAGUAGUUUCAUUCGUGACUUGCUCCUUUUUUGUUUAGAUAUAUAUAAAUUCUUAUUUUCUAUAUUUUCUAUAAGAAUUCUUAAUAUUAUAUUAUUCUUAUUUCCUACCCAAAAAAUGAAUUGGAAAGUAAUACGAUAUAAAUAAAAGAGACAUAAAUAUCUUUAUUAGAUAUAUCUUCAAAUUCAUGCCAAUAAUCUGUGUACUGCAUAGGGAACCCGAAGUAAAUAAGAAUUGUUAUCACUACAAGAAGUAGAAAAGUAACUAAUUUCAAAAGGAACCAUUAAUAAUAGAAGUCAAUAUCUGAUGUUGGAAAUAUAAUUUUUAAUAAAUUUUAUUAUUAAGUGUGUUAUCAAGACAUAGUGCAUAGCAUGAAAUUUAUAAAAAAAAAAAAAGUUAAUUGAAUUCAAUUAACUAUAUGUAUUUAACCCGUACGGUCAAAUAUAAAUUCCUAUUUGAGCACGGGUUUGUAAAAUCUUAUAAACCCGUUCGUUGUUAAUCAAAACAUGCAGGUUAUACUCAUUGCUAGAUUAUAGGAUCCACAAUACACCAUAGAAGUCUAUGCACUUAAAGGACUUGAUAUAGUUGAGGUGGUCUUUCAAGGUAGGUAAAAUUUAUCUUGAGAACACACUUUUAUUUCCUAUAAGAAUUCUUAAAAUUAUAGGAUUCUUAUUUCCUACCCAAAGUUACGUAUUUUAAACAAUUUAAAUCAAGAUAAACCUACUUUUAAUGUUUUUAUCAAUAUCUCUUUAUAUUCUUAUCAAUCCUUAUUUCUUAUGCCUACACUACAUAUAGUCUCUAAUAUAUUGAUUUCAAGCAUCAAAUUCAUGUUUAAGUAUUUUCAGUGCAAGCGGUUGGCACAUUAAAGCAUCGAUUUUGGGUUUUCACUCCCCUUGAUUAUCAGGUACAUUUUCUUUCAAAACAUUUUUUUUUAAAAAGGCAUGUUGAUCUUUAAUUGUAAAAGUUUAGUAACAUAUCUUGAAUUUUUUUAAAUUUUUUUAUUUUUUUAAUGAACACAUAGGAUUAGUAAUAUAUCUUGAAUUAGUAAUAAAUUUCUCUUAUAUUUCACAUAUUAUAUCUCACAUAAUAUUUUUGCCUUUAAUUUUGAUAAAUCAUUAUCAGAUUGGUGGAACUGACAACCAAUACCAACCUGAAACAUCAUUUUUUCAGAUUCCAAUUAGUAUAAUAAAUGAUUCUAAUCAACAAUAUUUCAAUACACUUCAUAUGAAUCAUUCAUCAUAGGGUUCAACAAAAAUCACAGAGGAAGGGAAUCAUUAUAAAAAGAUUUGUUAUACUAUUUUACUUUCUUAAAUUAACAAUAUUUACGUAUUGUUAUACACAAUCUUGAAUGCAAUAAAUCAUUUAUUUUUUUAUUCCUAGUUAUUCUGUUUUGCUAUCAUGCAGUGAUAAUGGAAAAUCAAUAAAUGCUGAUUUGCACGGACAAAUCAAGGAGAAUAUUCAAACAAAAGAAAAACAAAAACAAGUUUCUGAAGAGUAGAAUAUUAUUUGAUAUUAUUUACUGCACUUUUUAUUUAUUUUCAAGUUUUUGAAUAUUAUAGUAUUGUCGAAUGUUAUUUUUUUCAUUUUUGAAUUAUUAUUUACUGAAUUAGAUAUUCAAAUUUAUAUUAUAAGAAUACUUUAUAUUACAAUGCGCAUAUAGUAAUAUACUUAAGAAAAAUUAUAAUAAAAUAUACAUUAAGUUUGUAUUUCAUAUCGAUAUUUUUAUAAAAUUGACUAAAUAUUUUAUUAUUUUUUAAAAAUUCCCCGUUCAACGGGUACAAAACUAAUUUAAAUACUAAAGUCAUCAUUAGCCAACGUCUCGUCUCUCCAAUUUUACGCGCUAUUUCACUAUUUGUACCAAAAAACAGGAGACGUUGGCGGGGCAAUUGCCUGCUAUUAUCGACUUUUCAAUUUACUUUUUUUUUUCUUUUUAAUUAGUAGCAAUGAUCUGCUAUUAUCCAGUUUUCAGCAAUUUUAAGGUCUACUUGCAUGGUUGGAGAAAACCUUCAGCGCCUGAGCACAUUCAGGCCAGUCGAAUCACUCCUUCGUGUUACUUUUUAACAUGGCAAGCUAUGAGAUUUAGCAUCACAAUAAUAUGAAUUCAUGCAAUCUUCAACUUGCAUGACGCGACGCGUAAGCAUCGUCAGUCAGAAGCAAACUAUGACCACGCAAGGACAAUAGCCCAUCCUAAGCCUUCUUAGGCUUGGUGGUACGGGAGGUCAAGGGUUCGAAUUUUACUUCCCACAAAAUUUAUCAUAAUAUGUGAUCGUUUUUAUUGACCAGUUUCGAUAGAGUUUCUACUCCCAUCGAAUUCCCUUCCCCUCUCUCCUAGAAGCUAGAAUAGGUUAGCUUAAGUUAUAGGAAUUCUAUCGUAUCGAUAAAAAAAAUAAGGACAAUAGCCAAACAUUAAACCCCCGCAAAACACGUGCCUGCUCAUCAUGGAGUUUUUUUUAGGAUUCACCGACCGUCUCUUUUGUGGGUUCCAUCGGAAAGAAACUUGAUUCAGUUUUUUGAUUGGAUACACGCGCUGUUUAAUUAAAUUAAUGAUCAUUCUUUGGAGAUUUGCCAUUGUGAAUGUGGUUGAUUUGGAAAUCCAGAAAGGAACUUCACUCAAAAUGUUAUCAUCAAAGAUCAAGUGUCAAUCACAAGUCGAUUGUAACCUAAUUAAUUGUUGAACUAUCCAAACCCGUCCGCUAAAGCGUGUGACGAACUUUAAAUGGAUUUUAACAAGUAUUCAAUUAAACCAUUUAAUUGAUAAAUAGUGGACCGAUUCGACGCGUCCAUUUAUAAUCAUUUUAAAAUAAUUAUACACUUAAACUCAAAUAUUAAUGAGUUUCAAACAAAAAUACAUUUGAAUUUUCUAUCAAUCUAAUAAUAAUAAAAUAUUACUAGUUCUUAUCAAACAAUGCGUGAAAAAGUAAAAAAAUUAACAAGUAAAAAUUUCAAGUGAAUUAAAUGGAUAAUUAAAUAUUACCUAUGCCUAUUUAUUAAAUAAAUAUAAAUAAAUUGACUCAAAUUAGUUGACCCAAUUAUACCAGUUUGAAUCACACAUUUUAACACCUCCGCUUGUAACAUCUUUAAUUGCAUGGAGUAUAUGCUUCGUCAGUGAGAGAAGGAAAUUAAGAAGAAAAUGCCACGAGUCAUGAAACCUCGGGCUGGAUUAAGAACUUUAUCGAACUCACUUCAUAAAAUUACAUACAAAUGUUCGCAAGACAAGGGAGGAAAAACGUCAAACUCAGAAAAUAACACAACCGAUUUGCAUCUGGGGUUACUAACGCAAAGGCGAGCAACGACAGAUGCAAACAUGGUAUCUUCCAGAUCAACGAUAUUCUGCUACAUAAAACCAAAGUUAAACAGAAACUUGGACACUUUUCAAGUACAUCAAUCCAGAGAAAACCAAAACUCUCAUUACUUCCAUAGCUUUCGCAAGGACAUAUUUUUCUCCGUCUCCUUUUUCAUCACCUUGGCAACAGCCAUCUCAAAAUCCUCUUGCGUCACAUGAACCCUCCUCUCCCUCAGAGCAAACAUCCCUGCUUCUGUACACACAGCCUGCAAUAAAGGGGCCAAUAAAGCUUAAGCGAACUUAAAAGCUGAUGCUGAGUAUCCUAUUCACAUCAAAGGGGAGAAAAAAUAGAGUAUAUAUGUAGAAAAAGAAUCAUGAAACGAGUAAAAUCUACUCGUUUGAUCUUUAAACUCAAAAUUAACUCAAAAUUGUCUCUCAAGUGCACAAUCAAUACAAAGCUGCCUAAACUCAGAUCACUGAAAUACAUGCUAAAGGUUUAACCAAAAGAAAAGUCAGAAAUAUCAAUUUCUCAACCCCCCACUCUAGCACUCGAAUACUCCUACAUUCAACUAAAGAAGUGGGAGAAAAAACCCAACCCAAUCAAUUCAGCUCAGCAUUGGUGUUGGACAGAGUUGAUAAACCAGAAAUUGGUUCUCACCUACACUCCAAUUGUCUAAGAGUUCUAACAAAAUCCAGUGGUACCACAUAACAUAAUUAAUAUAUGAAUAUGGAAUUCAUGUAUCAAUAAAUCUGAAAGUUGGCAGAUGUGCAAAAAUCACAAACAAAUCAUGGAUUGGAACCCAGAGCCUGACAGUUCACCAGUACCGCCUAUUGCAUUUAGCCAGACUUCCUAAUGACAACUACUUUGAAUGAAACAAGUUUCAUACACUUACAUCAGCUGAGGAUGCAGAAAGAGUCAAGUUAGAGGUACAGAUGCAACAUAAGCAACAAAAACAUGCAUCAUUAUUAUUAUAAAAAAAAAAAGAACCUGCCAGUUUCUUAGUAUACGACACAAGAAACAGAGGGUUAAGCACUAAGCAAAAAAUAUAGAAGCAGAUAGACUUGCACCUUCAAUUCUGCACCAGAUGCACCAUUCAUCUUUUCUGCAAUCUUCUUUAAGUCAAUCCCACGCAUUAAAUUCAUCUUUCUUGAAUGGAUUUUUAGAAUAUCGAACCGAGACUGCAAAGCAUUUCAGUACCAAAGUCAAUUGAUGAAAAGUUAUAAACAGGUUACUGAUGGAACUAACUACCAAAAUUAUUAUAAGUAAAACCAAGACAAACUCACUGAUAUGACAUGAAAAAACGAAGACCUAAAAAUUGUUGCUUUAGCAUGUGCAUCUAUGUGAAAGUACAAAAGAUACGCAAAAAUAGGAUAAAAAUGCAUUUUCUGAGAUUUCAACAGUUUAGACCAUGAAAGCAUCCAAAAGCAAUAUCUAACUGAGGAAAUUUCAACAAUGUUAGACUAGGAAAACACGCAAGGGCAUUCCCUAACUAUACAUUUCAUGAUUUGACUUCCCAGGAGGACUACAAAUGAAAGGCAGAAGAGAUCCAUCCUCAUGGACUGAAAUAUUUAUAAUGAGACAAGAAGCGUUUCAAUGAGCUAAAAAGCUGAAGAAGUAGACAAGAAAAAACACUUUCAAGGAUUCAGAACAUUGUCUAAAUAUCCACAUACCUCUUCAUUCGGAUUUGGAAAUUCUAUCUUCCGGUCAAUUCUCCCAGGUCUAAGGAGAGCUUGAUCCAAAAUAUCAAUACGAUUUGUGGCCAUCAAAACCUGAACAGGCAAAUUUUAACUACUACAGCACCAUGAACAUAAAGGAUAAACACAAAACUGAUAUUCAAUAAAGCGCCAAUGUAUGUAUUCACCUUGAUCUUAUUUGAUGCCUCAAAACCAUCAAGUUGGUUGAGAAGUUCCAGCAUCGUCCGCUGUACUUCACUGUCACCAUUGCCACUUCCAGAUUCCAUUCUCGCAGAACCAAUACUGUCUAUUUCAUCCAUAAAAAUGAUGGAUGGGGCAUGCUCCCUAUAAAACAACAAUAAAGCCCAAAAUAAGGAAAUUUAGUCCUUACAAUACACUGUUAAAAGUAAUCAUGAAACUGUAUCAUCCAGCAAAAGCCAUGCUUCAAUGGCAAAAAGCUUAAAGCAAAUGUCAAUAGGACCCCCCAAAAAAAAUCUUAAAAGGUAAGAGAUCCAGAGGUUUAUGCUUUCAACUGGUAGAUGACGUUUCUCAAUUCUCCUGAACAAUGAGAAUAUUUUUUGUGGGUGUCUGGAUCACUUUGCCCCAUUGCAACAGAGAAAUUUAAGAGCUGCUAGUAGGCAUUCACUUUGCAAUACACAAUACAGCCCUAUGCUAUAAUCAUGUAAAAUAAGUUAACGCAAUUAUGAUUAAAAUCUGAUACAGAUAAAUUGGAAGAGUCAAUCCUUCUUGUAUUUCAUUUUUUUCGACUCCACGCGAAUUUUUCUAUAUUUCUAAUUAAACUUUCUUUUUUCCUCUGUUGUCUAUAGGAGAACAAUCUUGUUUCAAAUGCCAAUUCUAAGAUCCAGCCUACAACACAAUCAUCUGCUAGCCAAAAGUUCACAAAUUAACAUUUUACUCCAAUGCAUAUAAUUUGCAGUCUCCCACAACCUGCUGGCCCAAAAAAGGUAACAGUUUGGAUGUUCAUUCUUGUGACACUAAAAUACUCGUGUACUUCUUUGAUUGAUGGAAAAACCUUGCAUCAUACGUAAUAUCUCAAAAUAAUACCUAAUAGCAAGUAAUGUUCCAAUAAAUCAUCACACAACAAUCUUAAAUGCUGGAUCCUACCCCACCUUUUCCUUAGCUUCUUUCAACCAACUUGGUUUCCACAUUUAGAAGAAAUGUUGCAGAAAACAAGGAAAAUGAGCAUAUAGCCACUUCAGUGAAAUGAAAAUUCAAGGAUAUUAAAAUGAAGCAGCAAGUUUUGCAACCAACCUGGCCAUGACAAAAAGUUCCCUCACCAUUCGGGAACCUUCCCCAAUAUAUUUUUGCACUAGUUCAGAACCAGAGACCCUGAUGAAAGUACAAUCAGUAUGAUGUGCGACUGCCCUGGCCAACAGUGUUUUCCCAGUUCCUGGAGGUCCAUAAAGUAGGACUCCCUGCCAUUUAAAAAAUAAAAGAGAGAGCAUGAGUAGAAAGUUAAAUUAUCAUAAAGGCAACAUAUUCAAAUAGCUAGGCUACAAAUUAGCACCUUGGGUUGAGCUAUCCCAAGACUCUCAAAUAACUCAGGAUGUUUGAUUGGAAGCUCAAUAACCUGGAAUGCAACAGGAACAGAAUGCAAAGAAAUCAAUUAUCCAAUAACAUCAAAAUUACAACGUUCAUCUAUGAUAAUUUCCAAAUAUUUCAAAUGGAAAGGGAAAAACCUCCUUAAUCUCUUUGAUUUGCUGGUCAAGACCGCCAAUCAUGUCAUAUGUAGAAUCAGGAACUUUUUCAACUUUCAUGAGAUUGACUAACGGAUCCACUUUGCUGGGCAAAAUUAAAUGCAGGACAUAGCUGUCAUUUCGGAGAGCAACUCUGGUUGAUGGAGUGAUCUUUGUAAUGUCAAUGUUUUUAUCAAUAUCAACCACAUAUUUUCCUUCUGGAUGGACCUGAUGGGAUAUACAAUCAGGAAAGCGUAAGCAUUGAACUCCGUCUAUUAAUUUUUUGUUUGCUUUCUUUUUGUGUUUUGGAUUCUUCAAAAGAGAGGUUACAAGAACACAAGGAAACUUACUUUAACUAGAACUUUAGAUUUCCCCAUUACUUUGACAACUUCACCCACAUAAGAUCCAGGCUCCUGCAGUAGUUGCAACUCCUCCUUGAGCAUUCUCACUGUCAUUUCAAGUACAGAUAAAACAAUAACUGGUAAUUCAAUAUUUAAAACUGCAAACUUGCACGAAUCACAUGUUGAACGAUAAGCAAAAAUCAGAAUUAGUCAUGAUUCGGACAGCUUGAAUAGAAAACAGAAUUCAUAGUAGCCAUCUCUUCGUAAAAGUAAAUAAAGGGAUAAAAGAGCUAGCUUAUGCUUAAAAUACAAAAAGUUGUUCAAGUAAGCAUUAACUAAAGGAAGAAUCAUAUAUUCCCACAGGUUUACUAAAAUAUGACGACGUUUGCACUCAACUCAACUCUUCCGUCCCAAAUCCUCUUAUUUACUUAAACUAGAUAGACAGGUGUCUACAUCACACAUGAGGACAGCUUCCAACCAUGGAUACAAGCGCUACUAGGUACUAAAAGAACAAACUAUUCAUGCCAGAGAACAAUAAUGAAAGUCCUCUGUGCAUAUAAUAAAAGGGCAUAGUAAAUUUAUAUUGCUCUCUGUCAAUUCUAAUAUCCCAAACCCCAAUAACAUCAUCAAGCUAAAAAACCUUGCUAAUCUGAUUUAGAUGAUUUUCAGCUAAGGACCUCUGUGCAUAUGACAAUCAGUUGAUCCAGCAUAUGUAAUCCGAUCCAAAACUCAGGUCCUUGCCAACCCCUGCCUAUUACUUUUGAGCUCUUUAUGAUGUGGGUCAAGUGUUCAAAACCAUAUCCAAACUACUUCUCUGUAAAGGAAAGUACCUUAAAAGAAUCCCAAAAUGUAAAAAUUUCACACACCGCUGCGUCUACGGAACUGAACUUUGCCAAUCACCUAACCCAAGGUUCUCAAGAUUCAAACUUUGCCAAUUCGAGACCUAAAUCCACUUUGUGCAUUGCCAAAAUAAAUCACAAGCUGUGCACUCCAACAAAUCCCCAGAUAAUACCUCCAACAUUCUGCGAAUUCGUCAACAACAUUAUUUAAAAUACGUGUAUAGCCCUCCCCCACCCCCACCCCCCCAGCCCAAGGCACCUUACUGCGAAGGCAUAGUGCGGGACUAGCAAAUUGUGUAGAUUUUGAAAAAAAAAAAUCAACUAUUAAGCUAGGGUUUUUAACUAUUUGGGUAAACGAAAAGCAAGCAAUGAACUGGAAGUGGCAUUGGCAACCUUUAGAAUUGAGCUCGUUGCGUUGGGCUUCGAGACGGUUGAGAUUGUGGGAUUUCUGGCGGACCUGGAGCUGAAGAUCGUGGAUAUGUUGGAGAUAAUACUGCCGCAAGCCCUCGCCUUGCUUCACCAUCAUCGUACCCUUGCUCGAACAGCUCUCUUCUCUCUCUGCUCCACUUCGGUUCUUCUCUACCUCUGCUGUAGCCAUUUUAUUAAAGCUUCUUUGGUAGCUUCGAUUUUAUCGGAUUUUGAUGAUAGGUGAAUUGGGGAUUCAAUUGCACCAGAAUGACGAUCGAUUUCCUCUGAACUCUGGUAUUGUUUUUUUCCUUUUUCCUUGCCCUAUUUAUAAAUACGGAUAAAUCGGGCGGGUCGAUAGGGUGCGGAUUUCCUAUUGGGUCUUGGAAGACAACAAACGAAUUCAGAAACCCAUUCGGGUCUUGGAAUACAACAAACCAAAAGUUUGGCUCGUUUCGUAAAUGAUUUUUUCUCAUAUUUGUCUAGAAUUUUACUGGAGCCACAACUAACAAGUUGUAAUACGUAACAGCUAAUUUGUUUAGUUUCCGUAAAAGAAAUGUUAAAAAAUAAUAGAAUUUAUACAUAUCAAGACUAUUUUUUUUUAAUUUUUAAACAAUGCUAAGACUUUUUCUUUUCUAAGUGAAGGCUUUAAAUUAAAAAAUUUUCAAUUAUAUUUUUUUCCCACCACCCAACUCAAUCAUUUUUUUUACAUGUGAGAACUUAUGCCACUCUAAUAGCAAUUUUUAGCGAACAAGAACAAUUCAUUAGGAUAUAGAGAAACAGAGCCAGUAUAUAUUUAAAAGGAAUUUCAAUAAAAUUUUAAAUUAUAAAAAUAUUUAAAAAUAUAUUUUAAAAAAAUUUCUAAAAAUAAUUUAAAAAUAUUUACUGUAAAAAUUUUUCAUAUACAAAAUUAUAAUAAAAUUUUAAAAAAUACCUUCAAAAACAGUUAAUUCGAGUGGAGCCAAUAAGAGCCAUGAACCUCCCAUAAAAAGCCUUGCCCCGGCCAGAAUUUGACCCUGCGCCUAGCCCGGUCACCCGCUCGCCUCUUUCUCAGUUCUUUCUUUCCCAACCCUUGAUCUCCACAAUUUUGAAAAUCUCCAUCUACAGCCGAGCUAACAGGGAGGGGCUAGGAGGUGCGGAUUCCCUUUCCUGAAUCCCACUUGUAUUCCAUAUACCGCCAGAUUCACGUACAUUUAAAUCUUAUACACCACCAGAAUUUUCUUUCUCAUUUCUUACAACCUUGUUUAAUUGCAGCUGUCUUUUUUUUUUUCCCUUUUAUAUUUUGUUAAUUGUAAUUUUGGCAGCUCAACAAAACAUUGCAUUCAAAAUAAUUUUAAAAAAUCUUUUCCGUAUUUGCUAGAAUAUAUAUCAAUCAAAUAAAUAAAAUUUUAGAUUAAAAACGGUAGAUAUACAUAAAUAGCUGAGGUAUUUUGUUGAACAUAGUAGAAUUUGUAUUUGGGAGAAAUGGAUAAGAAGAGAGUGGCGGUGCCGUUGGUUUGCCACGGCCAUUCGCGCCCCGUCGUUGAUUUGUUCUAUAGUCCUGUCACUCCAGAUGGCUACUUCCUCAUCAGUGCCAGCAAAGGUUUGCACUUUUUUUUUUUCGGUUUUUCCUAAGUUUUUAUUCACAUUUUACAUAUAUGCGAGAGAUUCAACGUAUCUGUUGGUACAUACGUUGGAUAAUUAUACUGAGAUUAUUUUCAUUCCGACAAUCAAUUGUUUCUUGUUAAAUUUCUUGAGAUUCUAAAAUACUUCCUCCCGCCCCCCGAGUAGAAGGCUCUGAUCAUGCUGAUACUCGUGUCUAAUUACCGUUGAUGUACAGUUUCUUGAGUACUUUUGUCCAUUAUCUGUCAGCAGUGUAAAUUAGGACGAUCAUUGUGAAUUACUAGAAGCAACUCUAGGUUUUGAUUGCUUCCUUAUUUUGGCAUUGAGUGAAAGGAGUAUUGUCUGAGAAGGGCACCUUAAUCGAACCAGCAUAUGUCAAUGUUCAAUGGCUUGUUUGCUUAUAAUUUUUCAAGCAGUUAGUUCCGGUAGGAGUAAGAUAUGAGAGUUUAUCUUAGUUGUAUUUCAUUGUUGUAAAGAACCCUGUUUUCUGCACUUUCAUACUUCUAGUUGAUUAGUAUAUCAUAUUUCGUUCGUAUAUUCCAGAUUCCAAUCCUAUGCUUAGAAAUGGUGAGACUGGAGAUUGGAUUGGAACAUUUGAAGGGCAUAAAGGUGCAGUCUGGAGUUGCUGCUUGGAUACAAAUGCUUUUCGUGCUGCUACUGGUUCUGCUGACUUCUCUGCGUAUGUAACAUGCUCCUCAAUACUCUUGCAAAGCGAACCAAACUUGCACACUGUUGAUAGUCGCUCAAGAAAUUAUAUGCAUUUGUCUUGAUGUCUUUCGGUCUUCUUGUCAUCUCCUGCAUUUAAGAACAAGGGUGGUAUUGGCUCCAUUGAUCAGCAUUCAAUUGAUUGCCUUGUACAAUCUGGUUUAUUGUGAUACAGAAAAAUCUGGGAUGCUAUAACUGGGGACAUACUGCAUUCUUUUGAGCACAAGCACAUUGUUCGAGCCUGUGCUUUCUCAGAGGUACAUCUUUGAGUCAUUUCCUGUAUAAACACUUUCUUGCCAUCAAUUCAUGCUCUUCUUAGAAUUACUUCCUUUUCCUGGAAUAGGAUACCAAUUUUUUACUUACUGGAGGAGUUGAGAAAGUUCUUCGAAUAUAUGAUCUGAAUCGCCCUGAUGCUCCUCCUAGAGAAGUAGACAAGUCUCCUGGCUCUGUCAGAACUGUUACAUGGCUCCACAGUGAUCAGACAAUUUUAAGUUCUUGUACGGAUAUGGGAGGGGUCAGGUAUGCUUGUACCAUAGAAUUCGGUGUACUGAAAUCUUUGGUUCUUGGGUUUUUAAAGUUUCAGAUCCUCAUUUCCAUUUUAUUAGAUAGAUUUCAUAGUUCACACUAUGAAAAUUGAAGUUAGCGUGUAUGUUGAGGUUAGAGGUGGAAGUUUGAAAAUAAGAUAAGCUUUAUUGCUAUAACCUGGUAUUUCAUUUACUUUUUUGUCCGUACUUGUUUUUCGUGUUUCAGAUUCUCUAUAAUGUGUUUGAGAUCUUACAGGAGGUUGAAGCUUAUCUUCUAAUGGUUUAUUUCCCAUUUCAGAUUAUGGGAUGUCAGAACUGGCAAAGUAGUCGAAACACUAGAGACUAAAUCACCCGUGACUAGUGCUGAAGUUAGUCAAGAUGGUCGAUACAUUACAACUGCUGAUGGUUUCAGUGUGAAGUUCUGGGAUGCAAAUCAGUGAGUUCAACGAAAAUCAGAUGCAUUUGUCUUGAUUCUGCGGGCCUAACUUCUAGUCACAUGUGUUUUCUUGUUUUGCAGUUUUGGAUUGGUUAAGAGCUACAACAUGCCAUGCACCGUAGAGUCAGCUUCUUUGGAACCCAAAUAUGGUUUCAAAUUUGUUGCUGCAGGAGAAGACAUGUGGAUUCGUGUUUUUGAUUUUCAUACUGGUGACGAGAUAGGUACGUCAGUAAAAUAAACGAGAUUUAGAGUGAACCAACUUCAGAUUUUGGACCGCAUAUUACAAAAUUAUGAGACAUGGAUUGUAAUAUGAAAAGAAUGUCGGGGCCUCUAGGCAGAGAUAUUAUUUUCUCAUUGACCCUUGACCUUCUAAAUCCUGGCCUCGCUGGUUGCUUUACAGGCUCCUUGUAUCCCAUGUUGCGUCUGAUUUUCUUUUUGUCCUGUUUCAAUUAGUUGAUGUACAUGUACUAACCUGACGCUUGAAGGUUUAGGGAAUACAUCCUUGGUUGGUCUCCAGUUUCACGCUAAGUAUUUAUCUUUUGGGUGCAGCAUGUAACAAGGGUCACCAUGGUCCUGUGCACUGUGUUCGCUUUGCACCAGGCGGGGAAACAUAUGCCUCAGGAUCUGAAGAUGGAACAAUCAGAAUAUGGCAAACAGGGCCACUGAUUAAUGAUGAGAGUGAACCUAUUGCAGCAAAUGGUGGAACAGGAAGGGUGAAGGUUAGUGCAGAUGAAGUUUCCCGCAAAAUUGAGGGGUUCCACAUUACAGAUGAGGGAAAGUCCAGGGAGAAAGAAGAGAUGGAGAACGCCUGAGGGGCUGAUGAUAUCUGUGUUGGUUGGGAUGUCAAAUGCCACGUACAAAGAUUCCUCCUCUGUCGGAUGUCAGUCUAAUUGUCUUUCCUUUGCCUCUAGGCAGGAUAUCUUUAGUUUAAAUUUGCGGAUCUGCUCUCUUAAGAACAGCUAUUGUGGUAAACCCGCGACCAUUGCUUGGUGCACUUAGUUAUUGUCUGUAUGUAUAUCAAGGCUUCGCUGGAAGCUAGCUACUACAUGACUGGUGAUGAUUCAUUAGAAAUGUGCUUGUACGGCGCGUUUAUAAAAUGUGGGUUAUGUUCAUUACCUUUUGACCGCACUUGUUGGGAUUGACGUGAGAGUUGUGGUAUUUGGAAAUUCUUGAAGUUUUGCAGUUAUUUCAUGACGGUUCAAGGGAUGAUUGGCACUUUAGUUUACACCACUUCCCGUGAGCAUGGUGGGCCUGUACUCAAAUCGAUUAUUUUAACAGAUUAUACAUUUUGAUUACGAGUAAUCAGUUUUUGUGAUGUUCUCAAUUACUUUUAUAUUCUGAUUGUAGAUUUCAUAAUGAUAAAAAAAAAUAUAACUUAUAUAAUUACCUAAAAGGUUGCUUUCAUUGAUGUUGAUUAUUCUCUGUAAUCAGAUUUUGUAAAAUCUAAAGCAAUCAAGAUAAAGGCCUAUGUCUGUACCAGUUUCUCAAGUAUUUCCAGUUUUAAGUUAAGCAGCUACAGUUGCGGAAGUUAGUAUAUGGUGAAGCGUGUUUUAAUCCAAGUGUGAUUGACUAACCUUUUCCUUUUCAAGCUAUUUGGGAGUUUAGGAUAGAAAAGAGACGAACGGAAAACUUUAGUUAUGAGAGAAGAGAAGGGAUUGUUGUGUUGUUUGGGAGUUUUGAGAAUUAGUGGAAUGAUUUUGGAUAUAAAAAUCAUUAAAUAUUUGUUCAAGACAUUUUUAAGGAUAAAAUAGAUAUUUUAAAAAACUUUCAUAAGUUUCCUCCAACUUUCUCUCUAAUUUGGGAGAAAAACUUUUACUUACUAUUUAUCCUCUUAAAUCCUUCCAUUUCUCUUCUUUUCUUUCCUAAUAAAAACUAACAAACGAAGGAAAUGUUCGCUUUCUCUUCUUUCGCCUUCUUUUCUCUCCAAAUCAUUCACUCCCAAACGAACCCUAAAAGUUAACUUCUUCUAUCUAACCUUUAAUUCUUGUAAAGGUUUAGCAGAGAUUUUUAGCAACGUAAUGCGGCUUUAAAAAUUCUAGAAAUUCUUAAAAGCUGGACAAUUUGAAAUUGCCUUAUCUACUGAACGAGCCAAAACGGGUUAUACGAGUUCAAGAGCCGAAGAUUUCUUUACUGUUUUAGGGCGAUUUGGUAAAGUUAGAAAGGUAACACGAGUUAAAUAUGUGUUGAAAUUUCCCGACAGACCAACGUUGUAAGGAAAGAGGGAGGGGGAUUUUGAGUGAUCCUUAUCCAGCUGCCUGCCCUGGGAACAGAAGAGGUAAAAAGCAAUCUCGUCUGGAGUACCCGUGGUGUACACGAAAUUACCCUUUUACCCUCAAUGGCAGUGAAUGCAAAGCGGACAGUUGUGCAAAUUCCAACGAAAUUCAGGGUAACCUAAAUACGGCAUCCCCCCUUAAUGACAACUCCAUUACUGCGCGCGCCUCGCGCGUUAACUUUCCUCCUCUCCUCUCUUUCUCUCCGUCUUCGACUGGACUGCCUGCUGCCUCGUUUGUGACUUGUGAGUUGCGACCCGUCGAUCAAAACCCGAACCGGAAGCUCCAAAAAGCCUCUUUUUCGUUCUCAAGCCUUGAUAAAAACUGAAAGCCCUUCCAAUCGGUUGGAGGGAUUUGGCGGGAAAAAAUGUCGGGAAAAGGCGCCAAGGGCUUGAUAACCGGCAAGAACUCCUCCGCGUCCGCUGCGGCUAACAAGGACAAAGACAAGGACAAGAAGAAACCUACUUCUCGUUCCUCUCGUGCCGGCCUCCAAGUACUUUUUCCCAACCCUUUUUUUUCGUUUUUUUUUUAAAAAAAGAAAAAAAAACCGAAUUCCUGACUACCCUUCCGAAGCAAGUUUUGUGUUCUUCCCUUCCUGUUUUGUUUUUCAAUUUUCUUAUUGAUUUCUUCCUUUUGCAUGGUUUUCUUAUUUGUUUAUUUGGGUUUAAGAUUUGUUCUUUUACCAUAUGAUAUGAAGGCCCUGACCCUGCAAAAAUACACAAAGUUAUGCAUGCGGAGAUUCUGCGGUUAUUUACAUGAUUAUUGGGCUUUUAAUUGAUUUUAAAGGUGCGAUAAAUUGAUUAAAAACUAUAAUAUUGUGGGAAUAAGCCCGUAGAUUUACUCUACUUCUGUGCAUUUGAAUGAUUAGUUUAUAGUUUCUACCUAGGAAUUUUAGAAAGUUGUGAGUUUAUUUCACUACUAUUUUUAUUUUUGGGAAAAUCGAAGUAAUGGUGCUCAUUGUUAUGGAUUUGUAAAAUGUCUUAUUCAUGUGGUAAUACAAUCUAAUGCUAUGUGAAAAAUGAAACUAUUAAAAGAGGAAAGGAAGAAAAAGAGAAGAAUGUUCUAUUCUUAAUUUCAAAGUCAGUGAUGCUUUAUCAGUAAAACUCAAAUGAUCAAAAAUAAAAGGAGAUAAGAUCAUUGGACAGUUUACAUGUUACUCUUCCAUGAUCCACAUGCCCAGCAAGUAAGAGACAAAAAAAGAUGUUUGGUUGAAAUGCUCAAAUCAGUUUUGUCGGUUUGUUCUAGAAGUUGAACUUGUUUUGUAAGUAUUCAAUAACCAUAUUAGUCUUUACCCAACUGCGGAUGGUUCAGGAACAUAUCAACCCGGUUCUUGUUCAUAUGGAUCUGUGUGACAUGAAUAACUUUCUUUUGUUACCUCUUCUUCUUCUUUUUCUUCUUUCUUUGGCCAUUAUGUGCCCUCCACUCAUGCAAGAUAGGAUAACUAUUGAGAGCCAGGAAGAAAUCAAACUGAAUUUCUUCAUCUUAGUAUUUUCUUCCUCUCUUUUGCCGUUCCCUUCUUCUUAAUGACUAGCAAAUGUAAAAUUUCUUAUGUAUUUGUUUACUGUUUAGCAGUGAUAUUUUGUUGCAUAUUCAUGUUUAUGAACACACUGAAAGUUUUCUGACUGUUGGGAACAUCUGUAUGUCUUCUUCUUGUUUGGUUAUUGUUUUUGAUAUCGUGUACUUGCUUUAAGUUUUUCUUCCCACCCCCCCCCCCUUCCCCUCUUUCAUGUUUAAUGAGAAAUUAGGGUUCUUUGUGGUUAUGGAGUAAUUCUUUAACUUGUCUACUUUUUCAAAGGUCAUUUGUUAGUUGGAUAUAUUGUUUUCUUGGUUCUAAAUGUUUGUACUAGCUGUUAUUUGCUAAGCCGAAUGUGAUGUGUUAGCUAACCAAUUCUCUUAGUGAAAUGACUGUAUAUCGCAUUUGACUGCAGUUUCCAGUUGGUCGGAUCCAUCGUUUACUGAAACAGAGGACAACAGCACAUGGGAGAGUGGGUGCAACAGCGGCAGUCUACUCUGCAGCUAUCUUGGAGUAUUUGACUGCUGAAGUGUUGGAGCUUGCUGGCAAUGCAAGUAAGGAUCUUAAGGUGAAACGUAUUACUCCAAGACAUUUGCAGCUGGCAAUUCGAGGUGACGAAGAACUCGAUACACUGAUCAAAGGAACCAUUGCUGGUGGAGGUGUGAUUCCGCACAUCCACAAGUCACUUAUCAACAAAUCAUCCAAGGACUAGUUUCCAACGGAUGGUGGAUUUCUUUUAGUUGAGAGAAUUCACUUUCAGAAGACUGGCUGACUUAACCCUGUGUCACUUUGCUUGUGCAUCUAAACUCGUCUGCAUGAAUUCUAGCUGGUUCUUAGAUGCUGUAGACGUGGUUACAAUUAUAGGCUAUUAGGAUCGUGUCUUUGUCUUUAUAUUCUGGCGGAUUUGAAUGUGUAAAUAAAGCCAUGUUUCUCAAGUCUGUUAUAUUUGUGCUUUUCUAUAUAUUCCGGUGCCAAGACUGUUUCCUGAUCGUUGCAUGUACUGGCAGACUUAACUAACCUCAAAAUUCAUUAGAGAGAUUGGUGUGCUAUUAUUUUCUGAGCUCAGUCAUUUCGAUCCUGAGCGAGCUAAAAAUUAGGGCACUAGCGUUGCUAUUCUUCCUGAACUUGGUCAUUUUGGUCCUGAGCGAGUUGAAUAUUAGAGAUCUAAUGUAACAAUAUUCCAUACGCUUAAAUCCUAAUCUGGUCUCUAGUUUUCUAAGACCUUUUUCUGAAUCAGACGCUUCCCUACUGAGUACACAAAAUGGUUGUGAGAGCAUAAACCGAAGACUACUUCUUGCCCUACUCGCAGUUUAGAAUAGGGGUGCAAACGAGUCGAGCCGAUUCGAGUUUUGAUCUUAUCGAGUCAAGUCUUGACUUAAUUUCAUCGAGCUCGAGCUUGACAAGCUAGUAAUUUGCAAGUUCGAGCUCGAAUUCGACUCGAUUUGAGCCGAGCUUGAGUUCGAGUUCGAGCUCGAAAAAAAUAAAAAAUAAUUAUUUUAUUUUUUAAAAAAUAAAUAAAAUAAUAUUUUUAAUAAAUAAUAAAAUAUUAAAGAUAUAUAUGUAAUUUUAUUAUUAAAAAUAAAAAUAAAAAAUUUCGAGUUGAGCUUGAGUUCGAACUCGAAAAAAAUAAAAAAUAAUUAUUUUAUUUUUAAAAAAAUAAAUAAAAUAAUAUUUUUUUAAAUAAAUAAUAAAAUAUUAAGGAUAUUUAUGUAAUUUUACUAUUAAAAAUAAAAAUAAAAAUAAAAAUAAAAAUAAAAAAAAUAUAUAUAUUCGAGCUCGCGAGCCACGAACUUAAUGUUUUGAACUCGAGCUCGAACUCGACACUGGCUCAACCAAUAUCGAGCUCGAGUCGAGCUUGAAUCGAGCCGCUCGCUCGAUUCGUUUGCACCUCUAAUUUAGAAGCACCGUAUCGUGACAAAAGGUGCAGCUUAUGGUUGUACCAGUAAUAAUACACGCACAAAGAGAUUCCGCCAGGUAAAGAGGGUUAAGAACGCAAUCUUGACAUGCUCAAAUGUCUGAGUCACAGAGUUGGCCAAAAGGAAAUGCCAAACCAUCUCUAACGAUGUUCUCACUGAUCCACGUCCUGAACUAGGGAUCAGAACCUUUUGUCUGAACUCAUGUACAUUGUUGAUGGCUAAGUCUUAGAGCUUUGGAAUAAUAAAACCCCAGUCAAUCGCCCCCUUCAUAUAAGUAAAAGUAACUAAUCUAGACCAGAACAUAACAGAAAAACUAACGAUGGCAACCUCUAGACUAACAGAACUGAGAAUAUGCUCAAUAUCAUCUGCGAACCUCAAAUGUCUGCUACCUUUGGAACCUCCACGGGAAACUUAUCAAUCUCAGACAUCCAGGGGUUUUUUUCCUUUGCAGGCUUCACAGUUCUGAGGGCCUUCCAUACAGCACUGUUGCACUUGAAACCUGAACCAAAUGCUAUUUGCCAUACUCUGUGUCCUCUUUUUACUCUUCCCUUGGCUUCCGUGUAAGCCAAUUCAUACCACAGAGAACUGCUUGAGGUGUUGCCAAAUCGAUGCAGUGUCAUUCUUGAUGGCUCCAUAUGCCAUUCAGAUAGCUGCAAAUUCUUCUCCAGUUCAUCCAGGACGGCUCUACCUCCAGCAUGAAUGCAGAAAUGGUCAAAAGCUAGUUUAAAAUCGGGGAUGUAAGGCUUGAGCUUCAUCUUGAAUAGUUUCUUCCCAACUAGCGUAGCAAAGAAAAGCAAUUGUUCCGACAUUGGGAGAACAAGAGGUCCUAGAGUAGUGAUAUUGGUCUUCAAUGCAUCACCAGCUACAGCCAUGAGCUCCUUUGAUAAAGAAACUCCAAUCUUUCCAUCCGCGUCUUCUUCUUGAAAGACACAGGCAUAGCACUUAUCAUCAGCACCCUUGUGGGUGCGAACAGUGUGAACCAAUUGAUACUUCGAUCUUCUUUUUUCCGAGAAUUUGUUGGAAAGUAGUAUUGCGGCACCUCCCAUUCUGAACAAACAAUUGGAUACAAGCUUCGAUCGGUCAUUUCCAAAAUACCAAUUCAGAGUGAUGUUCUCCAUGCUGACGACCAAGGCAUAUGAGUUUGGAUGGAACUGAAGGAGUUUUUUAGCUAGGUCAAUAGAAAUUAAACCUGCACUACAUCCCAUGCCGCCUAAAUUAUAACUGGCUACGUUCCCUCGAAGUUUAUAAUGAUUAAUUAUCAUUGCAGACAAAGAUGGAGUUGGAUUGAACAAGCUACAGUUGACAACCAAAAUUCCAAUGUCUUUUGCUUUUACCUUAGUCUUUGCCAAAAGCUCAUCGAUGGCACCAAACAUAACAGCCUCGGCCUCUUUUCUAGCUUCUUUCAUUGAUGGAUUUGGAGGUAUCUUAAGGACAGCCUCAGGAAGAUAAGUGUUAUCUCCAAGGCCAGACCUUUGAAGGAUUUUCCUUUGAAACUCAAGAUUCUCUUUUGCGAAUGAGCCAACCAUUUCGGACUGAUCUAUGAAAGUCUUCAUUGUGCAUCUUUGAGCUUCAUCAGGCUUGUAGCAGGAGAAAUCAACAAGGUAAACUGGACGAGGACGAGUGAGGAAAUAGAUGGUCGAUAUGAAAACUAUGAGACUUGAGCACAGGAUCACCGAAAUGAGGUUAUACUGGAGAUUAUCCCAUAGCUCGUAAAGAUCAGGGAGAGACCAGGUGGACAUUUGUGCUGCAAUUACAAUUACAAAGGGGGUAAUGAACAGGUACAUUGCAUGAGUGAUAAGGUAGUGAUAACCAAGUUUGACAUAUUUCAACUUGAUUGAUUUCUUAUAAUCUGGAAAUUUCCCUGAUGAAGGGGCGAGCAAUGGCGCCUUUGUCUUUGUUUCUUCCAUUAUUUUCCUGCUCAAACAUAACAAGAAUUGGUGAGAUAAGCAGAAACAUUUUAGAGAAGACAAAAACAGACAACUGAGAGAGAGAAGAAAAUGAUCUAGAGUUGAUUCCGAUUGAGAAUUUCUGGAGAAUACUGUGUCUCAUAAAGCGUACUUGACAAAAUGUGAGCCAAAGCAUUGAAAAAAAGAGAAAACCAAUAAUUUGUUGGGAGACUACACAAUUGCAGGGAAAUACAUUCAUAUUGUUCCGAGAGAAGGUCAUGACAGAUUUUCCAACUUAUCAACCUAAAUGCAGUUCUAUUGUAGUUGUAAAGUAGCCACAAUCUGGUUCCACAGAAAGAGACAGAGGAAAAAAAAAUAUAUGUAUAUCAACCGCAAUAAUCAAGAGGACAGGCAGUUAAAUCUGGUCGAAAAAAUGUGUAUAUCAACCGCAAUAAUCAAGAGAUCAGGCAGUUAAAUCUGGUCGUUUCUGUAUAAAUCCGUCUGCUGACACUUGACAGAUCAAAUUGAGCUAAAUAUCAAUAACCAAUCACCAUGCAUAAAACCCUCACAAUGAAAUCUGUUGUGAAGUAGAUCGGAUACACCGCUGAAGUUGUUAAUUUUAAAACAAAACCAGGAUUAGAAGUUCAAACAUAAAAUAAAAUAUUAUUUGAAGCAUCAUACAACGCAAGAACAUAAAAUGCAGAAAUAAAAUCUAGCCAAAAAAUAAAUCAAGAACAGAUCUUUAUGGUGAAAUACUAAUGUAUGCUACACAAGUACCAUUAAUAAAUAAAACAACCCAGAAAAAGUAAUUACCUCUAAGGUGAAUCUCAAACCCAGAUAGCUUCAACGAUCUCUUCACUAAAGAAGGAUAGAAGCCCCGGAUGCAGAGGGAGAGAGCGCCAGAAAAUGAAAUGGAUGCAGGAGUUUUACUAGAGGAAGUAUAUUAGGAAAAAAGGGAAAAGAGGAAAUGAGAGUGUUUAUUUCCUUCAACGUGUUGUGGCCAGUGAAGAAUUAGAGGAAAUGAGAGUCGAAGAGGGCUUCUGGGAAUAUACGCAGAAAAGAUUGAGAAUAACAAGCAAUGCCACCAAAUUUAAAUGGUCAAAAUUAUGCUAGUAUUAGUCCCCCCCACCUCACUGGCAACGUGUUCUAGAAACCGUGUCUCAUGCACGAUCUUUUUCUCUUUCUUUGUGUGUAUAGAAGGAGUCCAAGAAGAUGACUAGAGAUGUAUAUAUAUCGGCAGGAGGAGGAGGAGGAGGCGGCGGCGGAAACGUAAACGGGGAGAGAAUAUAUUUGAACUGCUGAGGCGUUGCUUUGCUGGCCUCCUUUCUUUUGCCCCAGCCGCUGGUUCUACACUUUCAAUUGUCAUGGCUGUAAGUCAAAUUAAAAGAGUUUAAGUUAAACUUCAAUAAUGAUAUUUUAAGUUUAAUAAACUUUUAAAUUUAAUUCAAAUUUAAUUUUCAAAAUAUUUGAAUUCGAUAAAAAGUCAUUUAAAUUCGACUCUGAUAAAUAAAUAAAUUAAAUUUAAACACAAUUUCAAACUCAUUAAAAUAAUUAGACAAAUUCGAGAACCCAAUAAAAAUGUAUUUGAAUUCGAUUCUAAUUAAUAAACAAAUUAAACUUGAACACAAUUUCAAACUCAUUAUUAAAAUAAUUAGACAAAGUAUGUUUAGACGCCUAGACGAAAAACCAGACGCUACAGAUUAUGGAGGCAAAGGGGCCAGAUGUAUUCAAAUUCUUUGGGCAAGCAAUCGGGGGUUGAACGGGUCAAAGUUGGUGAAUUGGUGACCACCCUCUCUUGUUCACGGAGAGUCGGUCUGUUUAAUUUAUUUGAUUGCGACCAAAACAAGUCCCGUUCUUUUGGUUUGGUCAAAAUUUGGAAUACCCAACUCAUUUUCCAAAUUCGAAUCAUUGAUCACAUUUCCCCUUUUGCUGUACGCUUUGUGCGAAUUAGUCUUCUUCUCUAAUCUACUGUCAUUCUUUUGUCCAAAUUCAAUUUUGACCUUUCUGAAGAUGAUAAAGCCAUGUGCGGUGCAUUUUUAAAGAGGAUAUGGCUCCAUUUGGAUUCGCAGUUUUUGAAAUGUUUUUAAAAUAUUUUAUUGUACUAGUGUAUAUGAAAAAUUUUUAUUGUAAAUAUUUUUUGAAAAGUUUUUGGAAUAUAUUUUGAUGUAACUUUUAGAAUUAAAAAAUUUUUUAGAGUAGCUUUUAAAAAUUAACAUUACCACUCACCACCGCCACCAUCCUGUCUUUUUUUCCUUUCUUCUCCCUCUUCCUUCAUUUUCCUUCUCCCUUUGCUUCACUCUUCACUCUUCAUAGACGGAAAGUGCUGUAAAUUUUAUUUUUUUAAUAUUUUUGUUUGUAUAUUUAUGAGUUGUUUUUGAUAUAUUAUAUGGAUAAGAUGUUUUUAGAGUUUUUUUUGCUUAUGUAUUAUUGUAACAGUGUAUUUGAAAAAUUAGUUUUUGAAAAAUAGACCAAUCCAAACAGAUUUCUUAUAAUUUUUUUAAAAAAAAAAAUAGGAUAAGUUUCUUAUAAUUCUCUAAGUUGUAUAAUUUAUUUUUUAUAUUAAUAAAUCUAAAUCAUACCAUAUAACAUGAUUUGAAUUAAAUUUAAAAUCAUGCACACGUGACGUGACGUACAUUCAUAGCUGCUAGUAUCAAAAAAAUUACUAUACCAUUAGCGUAUAAAACUAAAGAGUGAAUUCUUUUAAAUAUCGAUGCCAUUUCUGCUUUAAGGUUCCGUCUAAAUCCAGGAUGGGUUGAGCUAAAAGAGAAACCAAAAGCAUUUGUGAUUCCUCAAUUCGAAGCAAAGGGAUUGAGGUAACUAAGGAGUGUGAAACUGGACUUUGUAGCUACAAUCGAAAUUGGGUACUAUGGUACAAACGAAAAUUCAAUUGUGACUGGCUCUCACAACCAUCUUUAAAGAUUCUACACAGCCAAAACAGCGAUUGAAGAUUACCAUCGCUUCUGAUGUUGCAACUACGUACUUCCAUGGCAGCAAGUGAAGAAUGUUGAAUCUUAUUCCAAUGUGAAUUCCUCAAGCCAUAUGAGCACCUCAUUCCUCUUUUUUUAACAACAAAACAGGAGAUACACAAGAUAUUAUUUAGUAGUUAUUUAAAAAAAAAAAAAAAAAAAAGCUCAAAAAUUGCAACCAACAAUUUUCAUGAAUAAACAUUCAAAAAUAUGGAAGAAAAGACUUCCAUUCCCUAGUCCUUACCAUGAUAAAGCUCCACGUUCGACCUGGAUCAUUGUAACGUGCAAGCAAGCAACCGGGUUUAGGUUUUAAACCAUUCCUAAUAACAGCAGACCGGAGAACUUUCUCCUUCUCUCGAACAAUAUUCUCAAUAGGUUCUCCACUAAACUUUGUUACUGCUGCUAUGCCUCCAUCAACCUGCCUCAAUGUGAUUGCUUCCUCAUUCGGAGCCGGUAAACUGUUCAAACAAAUUCUUUUUAUUUAUAUACAGUAUUUGAUAGAAAACUGAGUGGUUUUAUUGGAGCUCCCUAAUUAACUCCUAAGAGACCCCCAAUUUUGACACUGGCUGUCUCCCUUGCCAAGUAGGGUUCAGCUUCAAAGGUUGUAACCUGAUGCAAUUUGGUGAACUUCACCUGCUCAAAUCUUUUUCUGAUGGCAGAACUAUCUGGAUAGACACUUUGGAUGUUUCAGCAUCAACUGCCUGAGUAAACACAGGAGUAGUCAUGGGUAUCUUUUCCUCUGCUGCGUUCUUCCCAAAAAUAUACCUGUGAGAAAAGAUUAAGGAGCUGACGGUAGGAACGAAAGCAAUUACCAAUCAAAUGAUAAACAAUGGAUUCAAACACCAAACCUCACCCAGCAACGGCAUUAAAACCACUUGAACCAGACAACUUGUCACCAUCUGUUUCGACGACUAUAAAAGGUUUGUACUUUCUCACCUGUAUUUAACGAUGGAAAGUUAGUUAUUACCCGGAGGGCUUGACAUUUAUAUCAGCAGGAUGGAAUUCCUUAGCUUCAACAAUGGGUCGGUUAGCAACAAAGGAAAUUUGAUUUUUCACGUAAGUUUUGUUUCAGAUCUGAAGAAUUAAAGCAAUGCCAGAUUUAACGGGUGCAAGUUAAGAACGCUGCUGCAUUCAGGGAAAAAACCACAGACCUCAUACGUAGCAGUUCUUUUUAGUAUCUGAUAUUUAGGCGUUUCUAACUCUGGAGUCUUGUAAAUCUGCAACUGUUAAAAUUGCAACCAUAUCAGUUACGGCUGCUUAAAAUUGGCAAUGGAAAUUUGACAAAUAACAAAAUUGCAAAUGGAAAAAUGCACUAGCGAAUUAAGUAGCAGAUACCUGCUUCAACACAUCCAUGAGGCCUUCAAUAGAAAAAAAGUCGUUGUUCUUUAUAGAAUCCCAGUAGUCCUAUUAAUUAUGAUGACAAACGAUAAAUAAAGACUACAGAACUGACUCUGACUUUCUGUGUCAAAGGCAAAGAGCAACAUCUUACAAUAUGGCUACAGAACUUGUUGGUUUUUGGAUUGAUUCCCAUGACAGAAGUUCCUGUGAAGACUAAUUCAGGUCUCCAGGGCAGAAGCAUGAAAGUCAUUACCAUAGUCCAUCUUGUGGUGAUCUCAUAAGGCCCUGUCUAUACCAACUCAAUCAGUAAAACCAGCAAUAUCAAUUUGGAAAUCUGACAGAUUAUACUUCUAGCUUUCCAGUUGUAAAAACACCAGUUACGCAUGGCAAAAUGUGAAGGAGACGUGCAUGCCGACCAAAAUAGUUUCACUCGUCUAUUUAACAAAUAUACAGGUCACGAAUGACACCCCAAUGAAAGAUACUAUAAUACCACCAUCCUCUGGACAACCAAAAAAUUCGCUACUCCAUAUGCAAACUUUCGAAUGAUCUUACCAUUCUCACGAAAGAAACCGACUGCCCCAAAAAGCACAUAUUAAAAUUUGUAAGUAAAAUACACAUUCCAUUGCUGCCUUUUUCUUGCUUUGGUUUUUGUUUUUGUUUUUUUUUUUAAUUCUUUUCUUCCUUCCCUGCAUUCGUAGUUGUUCAUAUAGCAGAAUACUAGCCUACCAUAAAGACAGGGAACAAAUAUGGUACACUUGGGAUCAUUAAACAACAUCUGGGGUUGCCUCUCACAGCAGAAUUGAAUGUCACAAAAUAUAUCAUACCUGUUUGACCCAGUGUAACUGAAAAUGGGGGCGGAACAGCAACUUUAACGUAGCAAUGUUAAACAGGUAUCCACUGAGAGUAUCGUGUCUAGUAAUGGGGUCUCUGAAAUCGACACGCUCGUCAUACGCAGUCCUGUCGAUCCCUUGGUCAUCGAAGAGGUGAGGAAGGUCCUCGUACAAGAAGCCAACCAACCUUUCGACGUCAUUUACACUAGUUGGUUCUUUCGGCGGGCUCCGUUCAACAAUGCUCAUCCUAACUGCCCAUCCCAAUUUUGGCUUCCCUCUAGUUAGUGUAGUUCUUAUUUUACUUGGGUUGUUUUUGGAAGGAAUGAAGAGGAGUGCCGUGGAGGGUUUGGCGGCGGUGGUGGGGUGGUGGUGGUGGAAAGUGGGCGUGCGCCGGCAAAUUUGGUCGCGGCACAACUGUGCAGUGGCCAUGUGGAUUGCUGCGCAGAUUGUGAGGCAUCGAACGACUGGGUGAUUGGUGGCCACUGGCCAGGCCGGUGUUUACAAAAGUCCUGGCCAUACAAAAGGAUUGGUUGGUAUUUUUCGUUGCAGCUCGAAGCAGCACCGUUUAUUCGAGGAUUGCAAAAUUUAGUAAAAUGGAUAAUUGACAAAAAUAUCUUAUUAGAAUUAUCCAUGGGCUGAAGGCCCAAUAACGAUGCUUGGAGACACAACAAAUCGGGACCAUUGCAGAGAGUCCAACUGAAACUGAAUUCCAGGAGUCGAGGAGGAGGGCGCUAAGCCUUUUACUCCUCUUGGUUUUCAUUUUCGGAGGAAAGCUUUAGCGUUUUCUGCUGUAGUCAGGUUCAGCCUAUGGCUUGAGCAUGCUUUUGACCUACUGUAGCCUAGGAUUUUCAGGUGGUAAUAUGCUGCAUGCGGACAUGGGUCCGAUCGGUUGCCAGGAAAAUCGUUCGAACUGAUUUUGUACAAAAUGCAUAAAAAGUAACUUUGUACGUGUACUGCAUAAUUCACUUGCAACAAACAUGUAACUGUAAAAUAAAAUUUUAUAAAUUUCAUAUAUGAUAUAAUAUGGAUCUUAUAUAUAUAUAUAUUUUUUGUCAAAUCUUCGCCAUAAACUUUCAGAAAUGAUUGUUCCUGCCCCUCCUCCGCUGCAUGCUACAGUCAGAGGAAUGAAGUCACCAUGGACAUGUGUCAUGGUGACUUGUUCGGCCAUUUCCCGAACAAGGGAAAAGGGUAGUAUUAAGUUUGGUCCCAAACUUACAGGAUAAGUUUGAGGCGUGAAUUCAACAUUUCUAGAGCUCCGCCCAGGGUAAACUGGUAAUCUGAUAAUCUUGUAAUCAUCUUAUGGAAUGGAUAUCGUGAAACAAAGGGAUAAACCUAUUCUCCCUAGCGCUUAUUGGGUAAGGCCCUAUAAAUAAAUAAGGAAUCAUAUCAUGAAAGAUAUGCACACACUUAAAAAUAAUUUUUAUUCCUACCCAGAGGUGCUCUCGGCUCCUUUCACUGUACUUUUAUCAGCAGUUUUUCCCUGCCUUGUCAAAGAGAGAGAGGCAUUUGAGUUUUAAAUGUAAAUCACGAAUGAGUAAUGACAUUAAUGAAAAGAACGGAGGUUUAAAUCCUCCACUUAGCUAAAAUCUGCUGCAUGUUCUUUAAUUUUUGAUUAGAAGGUUCACUUGAAUGGAAGAAACUUGACUCAUCAAUUUGCUUCAGUCAUAUGAAUUUUCGUGGAUGAGGGAUCUUUGCCUAAACAAUUUCUUGCAAUCAGCCUCACUUCUUGCCUGCUAAAUUAUCUGGAGGAAUCUAUCGAGCAAAAGCCCCAAAUUUAAAUGGCCAGCGUUGUUAAGAUUCAGGAGAGCAAAAGGCAAAAACACCAUUACGAUUUACGAUAAAAAAAAAAAAAAAAAAAAAAAGACCACAUGAUUGUAAUUUGAAAAAGGUGAUGCCAACAUGGCAUAUUUUUCCAUGCGAAAUACACGCUUCUAAACAUUUAAUGCACACCCGUGCACGGGUCCGACACUCACUAAGGUUUUGUUUGAGUGAGGGCAAAAGGGAUCACUUGGGAUCAUCCGUGACAUAUUUUCUAUGCCAAUUCAAUGUCAUCUAUAGUAUUAUGCCAAGUGUUCUGUUAUUAUUUACAUUUUAAUUUUCAAAUAAUUCAACUUGGUUUGGUUUAACACAAGUGUAAAUAAUAAUAGGACACUUGGCGCAAUACUAUAGGUGGCAUUGAAUUCUCAAGUGAAAAGGGAUAGCACAGAAAAUUUCUACAAGUUCAUUAUUGGAAUUUCUUGUUUUGAAUUAUGAAGAGAUUAUGAUCAGGUAAUUAGCUCUUGCUGAGCUGAUAUUUCAUGCACUCCAAUUUGAUAUCAUUGCUUGAACAACAACAGAGUAAACGAAAAGUGAGUAGCUGGUAAAUAGUCCUGCCCUGCCCUUCAAAUAUAUUUGGUUUAGCUGGGUGUUAGCUUACCCCACCCCCCCCCCCCACCCCAAAAAAAUUUCAAUCUUGCAAAAUUUAUAUCUCGAGAAUUCUUGUCUUCAAUCUAGUUUCUUGUAUAUCUUUUUCUAUUCAGAAAAAAUACAUACACAACGAUGUUUUACUUUCCUUUUGUCGUAACAAAUCUGCAUUUUCUAAACUUUUUUUCCUAAUGCUACAAUAAAAUUUCAGCUAAUCAUAUAACUCAAAUAACCAUUCACUAAAUGCUGCUUUCUUUGUACUUUCUUUCUAUUCCCCCCCCCACCUCCCCCAACUCAAAAUAAAAUAAAAAAAAAAAAACUCUUUUCCUGAAGAACAUCGCACAUAAUUUUUCUGCUACUCAAACAUGCUUGCAAUUUUUCUUUUAGUUGAGAAAUUGAAGGAGAAUAAAAAGAACAGAGACAAUAGGAUCCAGCCUUUUUAUCACGUGGGAGUUAAACGGAGGGAACUCUCCGUCACACAAACCUUAUAUUCAUUGAAGGUUGAACCAAAAGAAAAAAAUGGUAAUGAAACAUUAAUCCAAUUUUUUCUUUUUUGGGGAAGUUCUCUUUUUCUAUAGUAACUACCAAACUAGGCCUUAAUCUUCGUAGUGUACAACCUCGUACUGUAGAAUGCUAGGGCAGGUAUAUAAGUUCACAAUCUCUACCCUCAGCUCAGUGUUCUAAGCUCCCAAAAUAAAUCCACUUAGCUGCAAGCCAGCAACCAUCCAUCUGCUUCAAAUCCUACAAUAAGCUAAUAUGUCCACCAUUUCGAUGGUCAUGGUAAUCUUACUGUCCAUGGUAAAUGAUGACCUCGAAUAUUAUCACAUUUCUCAUCCUCCAUCGUCAAUGUUUAUGGAAGACAAGGAACAAGGGUACUGCCGUUCUCCAGCUGCACCUGCUGAUGGAGACGGAGAUGACGACGACGAUGACGGUGAUGGAGGAUAUGAUUAUGCUCCAGCUGCUUGAAGUUUUCAUCGGGGCUUUACCAAUACCCUAGUUUUUAUACCAUCAGCCAAACCCUAGUUCUUGAAUACUAAAUCCCAUAUUUUAUUUAAACCCUAAAAUUUUAAGACCGCUAAUAGAGUGUAUCUAUCCCCUUGUACAAGGUUAUCCAAGAAUGUCUUUCACUUAGUUGAAAUAAGGAGAAUAUGUAUGUAGUGCUUUCUAAGGAAGAAAUCCUGCAGUUGAUCGUUAUAUACAGCCCUAAUUUCUUGGCUUUGCAUCUAUUAAAUCAGUACGCUGUGAAAGUUUGAGGUACUAGUGAAUGACUCGUUUCUUGCUAGUCACUUUUUAUACCCUAAGGAUUAUAAACUCCAACGGUUUGUGAAUCCAUACAUGUUCAUGUUUUAUCUUUUCUUUUUUCUUUUUUUCUUUUUUGGGGUCCUGGUAGGCCAUGUUCAUGUUCAUGUUAUCAAAAAGGCCUCCAAAAUAUUAAUUAGGAAUUAUAGUUCCAUUGCAAUUUCCAUGGUCAAAAUUAUGUAAUUACUGGGGCUUAUACGUACAAAAACAAUCCUGGAAUGGCCUCCAUAUCUCAAUCAUGGUCUGAUUUAGAGGGUGAAUGAGCAUUUCUGACAAAAGGUUAAUCGUUUUUGGUAAAGGAAAUGGAGUAGGGUUUGGAACUUUUCCAGUUCUGACUGAGCAUUUUGUCACGCAAAAGCACGAUAUAAUGCAUAAUGGAGCUCCAUCAUCUCAAUAUUUCUUACACCAAGAUGAAAAGGGCUAAUCAAGCCAUUGAAGUUUCGUACUCAUAAUUUGAAUUAUCUAUAUCUUUUUCAUACAUUUGAUUACUUUUAUGUUGGAUAUAUAUCUAAUUACUAAUUGUUACAGGAAGUAUAAGUUUUAGAUGGUUCCGUUUCUCAUGGAUUUAUAUAUCCAAACAGUGUUCAGUUUGGAGAAAAUCUAUCUCAAAUUGUCUCUUCGAGACUCCAAAAGAUUGGUUUGGGGGAUCUAGUGGCAUCUUAUUCACUUGAGAGCCGCCCUAUAUAUCCAAAAAUGGUCCCAUGCUUAUUAGUUAAAAGAUUAAUCUCGUAUACAUUCUCAAUAUAUGCACUAUCACCAUUAGAUAUAUGUCACAUGUGUAAAAUUUGAAUUUAGAAUCUAAAAUUUGCUCAUGUGUCAUCCAUCCAAUUGUGAUAGUGUAUAUAUUGACAAUGUAUAUAAAAUUUAUUCUAAGUUAAAAUCUAUUUCCCAUCGUUACUUUCAAGAAAAUUGUUGGGUAAAUUACAUGUAAUUCCUUCGUAGUUUCAUCUGUUGUCACGUGAUCCCUUUAACGUUUCAAAAGAUCCACUUCACUGCCCUAUGAUUUUAUGUAAAAUGAAAAUUUGACGAAAAAUAAUUAUGUACCAUCGGUAGUUAAAAUAUCAAUAGUAUCUUUACUUAAAUGCAAAAUUAAUAAAUGGUUUAACCAUCAUGUAUGCAAGUAUAAGGAAAUUACAUGAAUAAAUUCAAAAAUCAUAAGAAUUAAAGUGAAUAUUUAUACAAAUUAUAAGGGAGUACAUGGAUAUUAAGAUUUUAUCACAUGUGCUUUAAAGCCCGUUUGGUGUCCAUUUUCUAGUUUACAUAGAACCACACGGGAAUUAUGUGGCUAUUUUAACUUUAUGGGGGUUAUCUGGCAUUUUGUAAAAUCACAGGGGGGUAAUAAGUAUUUUACCCAAAAUUGUUUGCCCUAGACGUCGUGCUUCAAUUAAAUUUUAUAACUUACGCAUUUUCUUAAAAGUGAUCCUCGAAUGAACUAAUAUGGCAAAAUUUUCCACUUAAGGUUGAAUGGUUGCUAGAAUGGAAGCUCCAGCCCGGACCUUUCGUUUUAGAAUUGCAAUGACCCUAGGAACUUUUUUAUAGGUAUGUCUAACAAGAGUUCUACUUAAAAAAACCUUGCCAUUAAAGGCUUGGUGAGGUGGGAGACAAGGGUUCAGACGCUUGGUGUAGUGCACAUUAAGUUGCCUCUCACCAACUGCCACAUUAAGUAGCUUCUUAAAAAAUUCAACAAGUGUGUAGUGCACUCGUCUGGUCCGAUAGUGAUUCAGUUUCCAUCGAUCCCCCUAAACCCAGUUGGUCUGCCCCUUAUAUUAGGAUAGUGUAGGAUACUAUAGAUAAAAAAAAUGACGAUUGACAAAAAAAAAAAAAAAAGCAUUCUACUUGCAGGAAUAGGAAUACGAAUAAUUUCGAAUACCUUCUCCUGAAGUUUCUGACAAUUUUACUGACCUCCUUUGAUAUUUGAAAAAUUACACGUAUCUCCCUUGAUUUGAUAGUUUUAUUAACAAAAUUUUAAAAUAAUAUUGAGUUGGUCAAAUUUUUAAAUGAAUAUCCAAAAAUGCUCUUGUGUAAUGAGUUUUAAUUUACUUUUCCAUACAAUUAUAAAAUUAUCUAGUAUAAUUAUAAGAAAAGGUGCCAAAAUUUUCAUGUCUAUACUUACUAUUUAAUAAAUAACUAUAAUAAUAAUUUUAUCACUAUGGUAGAAUAUUUUUUAUGGUAUUUUAUUUUGAAUUUAAAUUUAUAAGUUGAAAAGAAAAUGUUGAAAUAAUUCAUUUAGAGUUUAGAAAUUUUUUGAGUUGUGGGAUUAUCAUAAUUUAGUAAUGAUUUUGGAUCAUUUCCUUUUGAUUUAUUGUUAAUUUUAAUACCAAAAAAUAGAAAAUAAAUAUCAGCAAAAACAUUGGAUUGCGUAUAAAGUUAAUUUAUCAAAAAAAUCACUAGUUUGAUAUUUGAUUACAAUAGAAACUAUAGGUAAUAGUGAUAGUUCUACAGUUUUAUUGGCAAAAAAUUCAAAAAAAAAAAAGGAAUAAGAAGGAAAAGAAUAAAAUUUUUUUUAAAAGUCAUUCUAAGUAUAAACAUACAAAAUAAGGGAAUUUUAUUAAAAUAUUUAAGGAUAGUACUAUCAUUUUAAAUAACAAGUGAGGUAUAUAUAAUUUUUAAAAUCUCAAGAAGCUAAAUGAAAUUAUUAAAAACCUCAAGGGAGGUUUUUGAAAUUAUCCCAUAGGAAUAUGAAUGUCGACAUUUUUUGAAAUUUGAAUGCUCAAAAUGUGGCCAUGACUCUUGAGUCCAUUCCCCAUGCUCCACGGUAGCAGCUCGACCACAUGCCUGAUUUCACAUCAUAUGAUUGUGCUUCCGGAGUCUCUCCACUUCCAGCAACCAAAGUAGUCCCCGUCUCAUUGAAUGGUUGAUUGAAUGGUUCAAGAUAUUUAUCACGUCAGAAAAGUCAAAGCAAAUUUUAGUUUAUCUUUUCAAUAUAAUUCUUCUUUCUAAUCGUAUGCAUCUAAUCAUUCAAAUUUAAAAUUUGAAUUUAUAGGGAUAAAAUUGAAAAAAGAAAUACAAACAUCACAAUUAAAUCACUAUAUUUAAGAAAGUUGAAUUUCCGAAACAUAAUUAAAUAAUUGGAACAGAGGGAGUAGUAGGUUUGUAGCACAUGAAUGAUGAAACCGCAGUGCAAAAAUUUGGAGCAAUGCAAAAAUAACUCUCUUAAGGGGUAUGUUGGUCGUUGAAUUGUAUGAGAGGUGAUUAUGGAUCAGAGAACAAAUCAAGGAUAUAAAGCUUCUGAGAAUAUUCGAUCAAUGGAUGUUUAGCUUGGCUUUGUGUGCACAUGCGAUGCAUACGUGAACAGCAAUACCGUAAUCAAAUCAGGUCCGUUAAAAAUGUGCUAGCUUUUUCAAUCUUGCUUGCUCUUUUAUCUUCAUUAGGCCUAUAUUUAUAAAUACUAGUGGGGAAUCGCACAUACUGUGUGUGUGCACAUCAAACAAAUAUUUUUAAAGCAAGGAAAAAAAGGGAUAAUUUUUUUUUUGGAGAUUAUUCAAAAUUUUUUGGUGAUUAAAACGUGAGUAUAUUAUGUUGAAUUUUGAAAGGAUACACUUCAAAUAAAAAAUAAUAAUGAUGUAAUUUUUUAACAUCAAACUCGUGAGCCAUCCAUUAUACAUGGAGUGAUAUAUAGAAUUCAGCCUCAAACAUAAUAAGUGUACAGUGUUGAUGCCGUUUCAAGAACCGACCGACCAGAUUGUGUGAUGUGGCAGUUUUAAUUGUUUACUCCCCUUUUUUAUUAAAAAAAUAAAAAUAAAAAAAAAUAAAGUCCCGGUAGCGUCAAGCCCUCGUCCGGUCAUGCCCUUGUGGCCCAACGACAUGGUGGACGUCACCGGUCUUGUCUUCCCGUACUGGAUUUUGUCCGAUGAAUCGAUAUUUUAACCAUAAAAUUGUACUUGCGUCUCCGGGUAACUAUUUUGCCCCAAAAAGAAUGGAGUAUUACCGUAUAUGGAAACAAGACAGUGUGAUGCAUGAUAGAUACUCUAAUAAACAGUUUCCUGGAUUAUGAUCUGCUGAUCAUAUGAUUUGUCUGUCAAAAUUUAAGUUGACCAAAAAAAUUCUUCCCGUGUCCGCACCGGAGAGUAGUUCCUGCGUACCAAUCCCCGUUUAUUUUACUCCAGAGCCACACUAAACAUAAAGAUGAACAUUGAAUGUUAGGAGGAAAGAUUGUAAGUAAACCUUUAAGACCUCGACAUUUAUUUGAUUUUUUUUUUUUUUAAAAAAAAGCAAGUAGUAGAAGGACGGUUAACAUUUUGUUGAGUGAUGAAUAAAUUUGAUGGCACGGAAGAAGUAAUUCAAAGAGAGAUGUCUCGAGUUUCAACACUUUCACUUAUAUUUAAAAAAGUUUUUUUUUAAAAAAAAAAAACGGAUAUUACUGACGUGUCAUAUGAGAUCUCCGACGUGGUUAAGGGACCAGUGGCACACACGUAAUCGGCGUCGGGAUGUUGUCAUAAUCCCCGUGCCAGCCCUGCGCUGCACCACGCCUCCCCUGCUUCCGAUCCACUUCUAUAGUGUUAUAUACUCCCCUGCUACCCAGUCUUCCUUUACACCAAGUCCAGUCUAACAAAAAAAAAGAAAAAAGAAAAAACUCCUCCAAUACGUAGUCCUCGUACUUCGCUUACCAGAAGUAUAUUUAAAUUUUCCUUUUCCAUUUUUGUCUCCUCGGUGAAGUUUGAGUUGAUCCGACUACCCGACAAGAGAAAAAAAAAUAAAUGUCGAUUGCUUUUAGGAACAUCAUUAUUGAGUCGUCAUGGUACGAGAAGAAGAUGAGGAGGCAGCACGCAGAUGGAGAUGACGAUGAUGAUAAUGGCGGCUAUGAUUAUGCCCCAGCCGCAUGCGUUGAAGGCGAUGGCGACGACGAUGACGGAGAUUAUGACUAUGCUCCGGCUGCAUCCCUGGAGGAGGAGGGUGAUGACGACGAUGACGAUGACGAUGACGGUUAUCAUUGUGCUCCAGCUGCAUGAACUUCAUUUACUUCACCCAAAAUUUCAUACUUGCACCUGGGAAUCUUUUCGCAUGUUCUUUUUUUUUUUUUUAAUCAUAUCGAACCUUCCAAGUUACAACUCAAUUAGUAUUGAUUAAUUGUAGUAUUCCUCGUUUCUGAUAUUUUAGCCUCAGAACCCUAAUGGUGAAAUCUAUUAACUUCCUUUUCCGGAUUUUUACAGUUUCUGGUUCUGCUGCUCUUUUUGGUUUGUUUAAUUGUACUGCUAACGUUACGUGGGUUGCAGUACUGUUCAGUCAGAGUGAUAAUUUAAAUAAAGUCACAAUAUUAUAUAAUUUAUUUGUGACAGUAUAAUACGACCAUCAGCAUGAAUAAAUUUUGCAACUGACGUGUUUUAAAUUUCUUUUCAAACGACAAAGCAUAACUUUGGGGUCGCGGGGCUCAUAAAAGAGGCCCGGUUAUAGAGAAAGAGGGGCAGAGGAGGAGGGAGGGACUAGGGAGGGAGGGAGGGAGAACAGAAAAAA
Molecule: long non-coding RNA, 54164 nt
Filed under: Coffea arabica (coffee)
Lineage: Eukaryota; Viridiplantae; Streptophyta; Magnoliopsida; Gentianales; Rubiaceae
Description: long non-coding RNA (CARA_LNC004003)
Source: RNAcentral